UGUCGAUCGUCCGACGUAUUGCAUAGUCACCAAGAGUGUAUCGAUCGACACUCCUCGUUGAUUCCUGAACCAAAAUCGUCUUUAGCUUCCUUUUUCUUAGCUUUUGCUCCAAAAUGUCUCCUUAUCUCUAUUAUUGUCCCAUUGAAUAGAAUACCUGAAAAACACUAAAAACACUCGAGAAAUAACAUAAAAACUCAAAAUCCUAUACCUAAAACAUAGUUAAAAUCGGUGAAAAUCGGGUUAUAUCAGUAAUGCAAGUUCCCAACCAAUCAAUGUUGAAGAUGAUGGAAUAAUAAGUCGACCUCCGGGUGUCAAGGCAGCAAAAGCGAAAGGAUAGAAGUCAGCCACUAUUAAAGAAGGAAAGAAAUCUGCUAGUAUUAAAGGAGAAGCAGACCAGUCAUCAGUCGAACAUUUUCAGAGCUUAUAGGAGCUUAAGGAGAAGGAUUGGGAUCACAAAGAGAAGCAAAGCAAUCAGAUACUUGAAAGUCUCUUUAGUGACUUAAGUGUCAGAAGUUUUCUCUCUCUUAACUCUCUCAAAUCUUUUAGAGAGAAAAAACUUUGAAUCUUGUUCAUAUCUUUUGCUAAUCCGAUUAACAUCGGAUCUCUUUAGAUUUCGUUUUAUGUUUUAGCUUUCUGACUAUUUUUCAGAUCUAUCUCAAACUUCUUGUCGGUUUUUCUUCUAUACUUUGUUUCGAUUUGUAGUUUUUUUGUAAAGCCUUUUGCCUGUUCUUCAAAUCAACACUUCUAUGUUGUUGAAGUGUUAAAUCAUUGUGGUUUGAUGGGUCUUUGUUAGCUGUGUACUUGAUUCUUCGUCCAAUUGUUGGUAAAUCCUCGCUUGCCCAUAUGGGAUUAAAUUAAGCGAUUGUUCACUUUGGUCGUUUGAUUUCAAGUGGUUGUAGUUGAUUGAAUUGGAGUAUGUAGAUUUGGAGUCCCUGUCGUGUUUGAUAGUUUCUCUGAAGACUGCUUCGAUUUUUAGCGGUUAAAGAAGAAAUCCGAUGAGCAAAGUAAAUCAAGUCAAUUACUUCCAAUGUUCAUUGCAAAAGGCGAUUGGUAAAAAGAAAGGCUUAAUCUGGUAGAAGCUGUUCGAAGAUGAUGAAGAACUGGAAGGUAAAGAAAUAUGCCGGUGACUGGAAGUAAUUCCCCGACGACAAUGGAGUUAAUGAAGAAACAACUUUUCUCCAGACCUGCCACGUGCCCGUGUUUAUCUUUUGUUAAGACAUGUGUCUAUGAGCUGUAUUGAUAUAAGCUUUAAUCUGUGUCUUUGGUUUAUAUUAAAUAUUUAAAUGGGUCUUGUACUUUAUGUGUAAUGCCCUUUGGGCUCUUUAAUGAAAUGAAGUUUGACGAAAAGAAAAGAAAAGUGUCAGGCAAUUUUUUGGAAUAAACAAUCCUCAGUUAUUUCAGGUCAAGAUGACAAAGUAUUUUCCGAGCAGCUCGACAAACUUCACAGUCUAUUCAGGUUAUAAUCAUAAAAAACAAGCAACCAAGUUUGUGGAUGUGAUACUAAAAAGAAAAUUGAUGUCCUAUGCUGUAAUUUCCAAACAAACUCUCAAGAUUAUUAGACUAUUGGUGGUUCUUUGGAGAUUUAGAAAUAGGCUAGUCUUAUCAACAUUAUUAGAUUAUUGAUGUUCUCAAAUUGUCUAUUUUUUAGGGUUCUAAAUAGAUUAGUGAUAAAUAAUAAAUAAGAAAUAGGUGUUUGUAAACUGGAAAAAUGUUAAAUUUUAAAAUUCCUCCAAAUAUAUACCCACAAUGUUUCACUGUAAAUUGUCUCUCAAAUCAUAUGAUAUACAAUUUUACUACAACAUCCCAAUUUGCAAUAACGAGAGAUUUAAAAAUAUUUUUAUAAAUGUUUAAUCAAAGAACCAUAGAUUUGGCAUUACGACAAAAAAAAGAAAAGAAAAUAAACAUAGAUUUAGAAUGAUUUUAACAAAUGAAAUUUGGAACGGUAUAAUUAUAAUACAUUUGAGAAAAUCAUUGGUGCAAUAAGGGGUGAUAGUUUUUUAAAACACAAAUCCUCCCAAAUCAACAAUUCAGUAUGCCUCCUAUUAAUAAUAAUAAUAAUAAUUAAAAUUAAAAUUAAAAUUUCAAAUAUAAAUUACAAUGAAAAGGUGAAAAAUAGAUAUAACUAAAUCAGUAAAAAAUAUGUUUUCUUCACAUAUUUAUAUAUUUUCUUUAUUAAAAUGUUUAAUACAACAUUCCAUGAUUUUGUUUUUGUAAUGUAUACAAAAACAAACUAAAACAAUUUACUAAGUUAACAAACUUUAAAAUAUCAAAUGUGAACUAUAUCUGGGCGUAGAUAUAAAGACGAUGUUCUAGAUUUAUUGUUUAGUAUCGUGUAAUCUGUGGUUGAGUAAUAAGAAGAUUCUUAUACAGUAGCUAUCCAAAAUCAUCAUCAAUCACACCAUAAAAGAGAGAAAACUAAAUUUGUAAACUUAUUUUAUGGGUUCAUUGAUCUCCAGGAGUUCAUUAGCCCUGGACUGGAUUCCUUUGAGAUACUCGGUCAAGAUAAGCUGAUGGUAUGAACCAUCUUCCUGGUCUGAUCAAAAUAAAUUUGGUCAGAAUGAUAAAUUCUGGAAAACCGUAUUGGUAACCAUCUCGUUCAAACACAAAUCAAAACCCGGUUAGCCUCACACUCAUUGUGAACAGAUAUUUUAACCAUCUGUUCUAGCCUUGUCAAACCUUGUCAAAUCAAAUCUAUGGGCGUAUCAUUUGGGCCCGCUAGAUCUAUUAUUGGGCCGUAACACUUAUUCUUUGGUCCAUUAUAAUUUUAUUUUCCGAUAAGUAAGAAUAACCAUAUGACACUACAAGAAGAUAAGCUCUUUCCGACGGACGAAAUCGUCGGAAUAACGUCGGAAACAGCCGUAUUCGACGAAUUUUUAACGACAUAGAUGGUCGAGACUAUCUUGUCGGAAAUGUGAAUGUCGACGCAAACGUGUUACAAAUUACCAACGGGUUUCCGACGAGAUAUUUCCCGAUAAUUUCUCUAUGCUUUUCUAACGAUAACAUUGGUUGCGAAACUGGUUGGAACAUAGUCGGAAAUGAUCGUCGGAUCCUCGUCGAAAAUAGUUUCCGACUAUUUUCUAACGAAUAUUGUUGUCAGGCAUUGCAUCAGAACGUUGUUAAAAAUCGGUCGGUAUCUUCUUCGACGGUUUCCCGACAACGUUAUUCCCGAUGGAUUCCCGACGAAGUAUUUCCGAUGGGUUACUGACGUUGUUGUAUUUUCUGACGGGUUACUGACGUUGUUGUAUUUUCCGACGGGUUACCAAAAAUCGUUUAUUCUUCGGGUUUUUUAACAUUCUCCUUUGUCUCUUCUCUUCUCUUAUCUUCCCCAACACCCCCCCACCCCCCGCAUCAAUUUCAAAUCCUAAUCUUUCGAAUCGUGGAGAAAAACCCUAUGUUUCUGAAUCUAAUGGUGGUAGUUUUGUUUCUUUAUUGGCGAUGGCAAAAUUAGGGGAAACACACGGUGGAUUUAUCCGCUCUUGUUGGUCGAGACGCAGGGGAAUCUUUCCUUUCUCUCAAGUUUAAGACGACAGAGCUUUCUAAUAUCAGUAUCACCAACGGAUGCUACGCCUCUAUGCGCUCGCCAAGUGGUGUAAGUCAUUCUCUGUUUCUACAAGUAUUUUUAAUGAUGUGGUGGAAGAUUAGGGUAUGGUUUUGUUUAAUCAUGAUCGAUUAGUUUUGAACACAUUUCUCUAGGGAUGAUUUACAGAACUGGAAGAUCCUACGAUGAUUUGUGGUGGAAGAUUAGGGUAUGGUUUUGUUGAAUCAUGAUCGAUUAGUUUUGAACACAUUUCUCGUAGGAUGAUUCACAGAAUUGGAAGAUCCUAGGUUGUUGAUGCUUGCUUGUGUUCUCUAUGUGAAUUGAAUGUUGAUAUCUAGUGUUUUUGGUUGUUUUAAAACCUCUUUUCUCUUAAUUUUUUGUUGCUUUGCAUUCAUAUUUUGGGAUAUAGUAUUGCAUUUGCAUUUGCAUUUGGUUUUCUUAGGUACAUGAGUGGAGUUUAGAAUUUUGAAAGUAAAAUGCAGCAAAUGGAGCAAACAAAUGAGCUAAGACAAUGUAAAGUGACCAAGGAGGAGAAGCUAGGAGGACAAUAGACCAAGUGGUCGAUUGCGUGGUCGAUUGCGUGGUCGAUUGGUCAGGACCAGAGCUACGAAGAAAAUUUAAAUCUACCAAAGUGGUCGAUUGCGUGGUCGAUUGGUCAGGACCAGAGCUAUGGAGGAAAUUUGAAUCUACCAAAGUGGUCGAUUGCGUGGUCGAUUGGUCAAGGAUUAAUGAUGGGGACGAUAUUUGAAUCUACCAAGUGAUCUAUUGCUUGGUCGCUUGCUUUCCUAAACCGGGUCAAAAUCCGAUUUGUUCCGUGUUGAUCCGGUUUAUUUUCUCAUUACUAUAAAUACUCUUAACCUAGUUUUAGAGAGGCGAGCUUUUGUUUUAGAGAUCAAAACUUCUUUUAAGGUUCUUUAUCUUAAGUUUUUGUAUGAAUCUUGGUUAGUUGCGUUUUGAAUCAAAGUUUACCUUUUAAAUCUCUUAUCUACCUUCUCUAAUUAUGAUUACACAAAGACCAAACCUAUUCCUUUGUGCUUUCAUGAUCAUGAGUGAGUAGUCAUUUAGAGUUCUUUGGUUAGGGUAGAUUAGGAUGAUUUAGAUGUUGGGUUAUGGAGUUUAGGGCUAGAUCACUACAAGAAAAGUGAGUAUUAAUAGCACUGAGUUAUAGCGUUUUAUGUAGUAUUGCUAUUAAUGAGUAACCACUGAUUUUUAGAUAGCGUUUAGAAUUUAUAAAACGCUAUGAAAGGUUUUUACUAAAAAACGUGUUUAUUAAAGUUGGUAUAUAAGAGUUUUGAUUGCAGAUCCAUAUUAAAACGCUACGGAAUCAUAAGCGGGAACUAAAAAAUUUUGGGCUCCAAAAAGCCUUUGACCAAAGACUUAGGCUCCAAAAAUAAUUUUCCUCGACUGUUCUUCUCCUUUGACUGUUCUUCUCCUUUUCAUCUCUCUCUAGCUCUUGAACUUCUUCACUGCUAAAAAAUUAAGAGGUUCUAUCUUCACUCUUCCUUACCAUCUGAGAUUGUCGCAUCUAUCUUCACUCUUGCUCUCUCGUCGAAAUUCGUACUCGACCACAAAUCCCAUCCAUCGUCUUCGUCCGCUUCAAGGUUGUAAUUUUUAGGGUUAAUGCAUGUAUGAUUUUGGGGUUUAGAUCUUGUUUUGUUUUGUUUCAAUUGAAGUUUUAAGAGUUUGGGGUUUUGAUUUGUCACAAUUUUGCUUCUUUUUAAUUGAAUCGAUUUGGGUUCUCGAUUUAGUUCACUAGGCUUUGAAAUUCUUUCUUUGAUGUUUCGAUUAGGGGUCUUGGCAACUCACAUUCGCCGAACAUUGUCUGAAACUGACACCAGUAUUUAGGGUUUUGCUUCAUCAAAAUUGUUAUUGUUUCGAUUUGUAUUUGGAUUUUUAGAUCUAUAAAUUGUACAGCACGAAUAGUUAUAGUCGAUUAUGAUGUCUUGUUUUUGGUUUGAUUCUUGUGUUGUCUUUAUUUUAGUGGUUUGAUUCAUGUCUUGUUUUCUGCAGUUCGAGUUUCGCAUAGACGAAGGACUAGCACUAGCAGGUAAUGGUUGAGUGGUUUAGUUCUUCUCUUAACUCAGCUGUAUUGCGAUUCAUGGAAUAAAAGUUUGUGUUUUUUUGCAGUCUCGGGUUUUACAAUUCACAAGAUCCCUCAUAGAUUCUUCUUCUGUGCAGGUAUUUGGUUUCUCUUUGUGUGAUUACCUUUAUUUGAUCCUCAUGGUUGGUGUCUGACAUAUAGAGUAACUCUAAUACUUGUGUGUUUAACUGCUGGUCGAGCUUUGGAGUUAUUGUUUUAAUAUGGAGAAGUCUUGGGUUUGGCUGCCAAGGUAAGCUUAUGAUUGUUAUUUACGUUGUUCUCUUAUACUUACAGUGAUUAUAUUGGAGUUAAUUUGUUAAUUUUAUUGACUAACAGGGCUAGCCCUGAAUAUGGAGAAGGAGCUAAUAAUUUUGUUGAGGCGCCAGCCAGGAGAUUGGGUAAUCCUGAGGAUAUUUUAUGUCCCUGCAGUGAUUGCCGGAAUGUUUGCCAUCAACCAUUAGGGACAGUAGUAGAUCAUUUGGUGAUUAGAGGUAUGGAUCAAGAGUAUAAGAUGAAUACUUGUUGGAGCAAACAUGGAGAUAUCAGGGAUCAUCAGCGGACUGAUGUUCAGACUUCUGAGUUUGAGGCUUAUGACUUGAUUAGGACUGCAUUUUAUCAGGGAGAAGAAAAUCUGCAGUCUCAGACUGAGAGUGGUGAUCAGGGUUCUCAUGUUGAGAGUAAAGAAGAAUCAAAGAGUUUAGGCAGAAACUGAUUGAUGCAGAAACUCCUCUAUACUCGACGUGUCCCAGCUAUACUAAAGUUUCUGCAAUCAUGGCACUCUAUCGCAUAAAGGUUAAAAGUGGUAUGUCUGAGAACUACUUCGAUCAGCUCUUGUCAUUAGUGCACGACAUGCUACCCGUGGAUAAUGUUCUACCAAAAUCCACAGAUGAGAUGAAGAAGUUCUUGAAGCUAUUUGGUUUUGGUUAUGAAAUGAUUCACGCAUGCCAGAAUGAUUGCAUUCUGUAUAGGAAGCAGUAUGAGCAGUUAGUAAGCUGUCCACGAUGUAGUGCAUCAAGAUGGGAAAAGGAUAAGCACACAGGAGAGGAAAAGAAAGGGAUUCCAGCGAAGGUUUUACGGUAUUUUCCAAUCAAGGAUAGAUUCAGGAGGAUGUUUAGAUCAAAGAGAAUUUCUGAGGAGUUGCGUUGGCAUUUCAGUAAUGCAAGUGUAGACGGGUCAAUGAGACAUCCAGUUGAUUCAUUGACUUGGUUUCAGGUGAGGGAUAAAUAUCCAAAGUUUCCAGCUGAACUAAGGAACCUUCGUCUUGGGCUUUCCACAGAUGGGAUGAAUCCAUUCUCAAUGCAGAAUACGAAGUACAGUACAUGGCCGGUUAUGUUGGUGAACUAUAACAUGUGUCCGACUAAGUGUAUGAAAGCUGAGAACAUCAUGUUAACUAUGCUCAUUCCAGGACCUACUGCGCCGAGUAACAACAUAGACGUGUAUCUUGCACCUCUUAUAGAUGAUCUAAAUGAUCUUUGGAAAGAAGGAAUUGAGGUUUAUGAUUCUUAUGCUAAGGAGAAUUUUAGACUUAAAGCUAUAUUAUUGUGGACUAUCAGUGAUUAUCCGGCUUUAAGGACUCUAGCUGGCUGUAAGGUUAAAGGGAAACAGGCGUGUAACGUUUGUGGCAAAGAUACACCACAUAGGUGGCUAAAGUUUAGUCGGAAGCAUGUUUAUUUGGGAAACAGGAAGCGACUAAGGCCAGGACAUCCCUACAGAAGGAAAAAGGCUUGGUUUGACAACACAGUUGAGGAUGGAACUGUGAAUAGAAUUCAGACAGGAUCUGACAUAUUUGAGACACUUAAGGACUUUAGAAAUGAUUUCGGAAGACUUUUGGAUAAGAAAACAAAGAGGAGCAGAACAGAUUUGGGAGAUGAGGAUCUGGUUUUAGAAGAAGAAUAUGAAGAAUAUACAGAUCAGUGGCGGUGGAAGAAGAGGUCAAUACUCUAUGAAUUAGCAUACUGGAAGGUUUAGUUCAUUCAGAAGAAGUAUAGUGUUUUCUUUGUGAACUAGUUUUGUUGUUUGUCCUAACUUAUUUUUCUUAUUUUUCAGGAUAUGUCAGUCCGUCACAACAUAGAUGUGAUGCAUGUGGAGAAGAACUGCUUUGAUGCAUUAUUGUCCACUCUAAUGCAAAGUUCUAAAUCCAAAGAUGGAUGAAGGCAAGGAAGGAUUUGGAAGACAUAGGAAUUCGAUCACACUUACACACAGAGGUAAGAGGAAAGAAGACUUACUUGCAUCCUGCAGCUUAUUGGUUAUCUAAGACAUAGAAAAAGGGUUUUUGCAGUAGGCUAGCUAAAUUCAGAGGGCCUGAUGGUUAUUGCGCUAAUAUCUCAAAUUGUGUUUCAGUAGAUCCUCCAAUAAUUGGUGGCCUGAAGUCACACGAUCAUCAUGUACUUAUGCAAAAUCUCUUGCAUGUGGCGUUGCAAGGGUUUCUGCCUAAAGGCCCCAGAAUUGCAGUUACCCGUCUAUGCAAUUACUUCAGUAGACUGUGUCAGCGUGUCCUUGAUCCAGAGAAGCUUCUUGCAUUAGAAGCUGAAGUUGUUGAGACAAUGUGUGAAAUGGAGAGGUUCUUUCCUCCUUCACUUUUCGAUAUUAUGUUCCACCUUCCCAUACAUUUAGCAAGGGAAGCACGAUUGGGUGGCCCUGUUCAUUUUCGUUGGAUGUAUCCAUUUGAAAGGUACAUUUUCUUGAAGCUUUGUUUGGUCUGUCUCAAUUUUAAAAGUGAAAACCACUUAACUUUAUUUGUACUGUUUUGAAUGAUGAUGUCAGGUACAUGAAAACACUGAAAGCAUAUGUUAAAAACUAUGCUAGGCCAGAGGCAUGUAUGGCUGAGGGGUAUUUGGCUGGAGAAUGCAUAGCAUUCUGUACUGAGUUUCUUCAGAAUUCAUUACCACCCCAAGAAGAAGUCAAUCAAAAUGAAGACCUUGAAACAGAUGAGAAUAUCCUAGAGGGUCGACCGCUGAAUAAGGCUACUGAAGUUACUCUAACAGAGAGAGAGAGAGAUAUUGCACAUCGAUAUGUUUUAAUGAACAUGGCAAUAGUAGAUCCAUAUAUUGAGUAAGUUCUAUCUUCAUUCUUGUCAGUUUGUUCAGCUUAACUUGUAUAAUCAACUUACAGACCUUGUUACUGCAAGAUGCAUCUAGAGGAAUUGCAAGCAGUCGAUGCUAGAUGCUCUAAAAACGAAACUUUGUUAUGGAAACUUCAUAACGACAGGUUUCCUCAGUGGAUCAAAGAGAAGGUAAUGUUGUCAUCGAUUAGAGAAUGUUUGGUCUGUUGAUAAAAGAGACUUUAUGUGUCAUUGAUUAGUAUUUUGUACUGUUUUCCUGUUAGAUACCUACUAAUUCAAAGGAGCAUUCUACAAAGCUGAGAUGGCUUGCAUUUGGUCCAAGACUUGUUGCUCAGACCUAUAAGGGCUAUAUUAUAAAUGGUAAUCGGUUCCACACAGAGGAUGUAAGGCGAAAGACUCAAAACAGUGGUUUAACAUAUGAAGCUUUCAGUAUGUGUAGAUCAAGUGCCAAAGAUACUAGACACCAAGCAGACAUAGUAGCAUUUUACGGAGUGAUUAAGGAUAUCAUAAUGUUGGACUACCACAUGUUCCAGAUUCCCAUUUUCAAUUGUAGUUGGGCCAACAAAGGGAAUGGUGUGAAAGAAGAAGAUGGAUUUACACUUGUGAAUCUUCAUUUGAGUCAAGCUGCGUUUCUGCAAGAUCCUUACAUCCUGGCAUCACAAGCAAAACAAGUUUUCUAUUCUAGAGAAAGUGACUUGAGUCAGUGGUAUGUUGUUAUGAAGGCGCCACCAAGAGGGUAUCAUGAAUUAGAGACAGAAGAGGAGAGUGUUAGUCAGUUGUUAGUCCACCCAAUAGAAGACAUGGGAAAUCAAUCUUCAGAUGAUGAAAGUUUUUGUGCUAGAGAUGAUUGUGAAGGGCUCUUAGUAUUAGAAUAGUUGUUGACUUGUCAUUUUUAAUCACUUUUUAAAAAUUGAUCUUGUUGCAGGGGAACCAGAAUGAUGUCAAGUCAAGCUAACACCAAACCACGUCGCAGUAAGCGUCAACAGGGACUUGAGGUGAGUCCUUUUGAAGUAAGAAAAGUUAGGAAAAACAAGAAGCAAGCGAGUCCUCUUAAGCCUGUGAGAGAGGAAAACAAUGAGUUGAGUGUUGAUGAGGGAGAUGAGCAAGUUUCAGACCUUAAUGAAGAAGAUGCAGACCUUAAUGAAAGCAAUCAGGAUUUACCUGCUGAUGAUAAUGCACAGCAUGAGAGCAUUCAGGAGCCAAUCGAAGAAGACACAACUAGAGUUUCAAACCAGAGUGAAGAAGCACAAUCCCAUCAGUCAGGGACUAACAAAUAGAGAACUAGAGGUCCAUCUAAGAUGCGUAAACUGGCUAAACAUCUAGAUGAUAAGGUCGAUGUUGAAUUUACAGAAUUGGGUGAACACUUUGGGAAUGGUUCAGUCAAACUGUCGUCCUUUCUUGGUGCACUAGUCAGGGAGCAUGUACUUGUGAUACUUGAUGAUUGGAAGCACCUUGAUGAACUUACAAGACACGCACUUUGGGAGGAAAUUCAGGUAUGUAUAACAAUUUAUUUAGUUUACCAGAACGUUCCCUUGUGACUCUUAGUUAACAAUCUAAACUUAUGUAGGGGAGGUUUAAUCUGCAAGAAGAAUGGCAAAAACAAGCUAUUUUUAGGCAGAUGGGUUGUUUGUGGAGGUCCCAUAAAUCUAAGAUUCUCUCAAAGGUUAAAGCUGCAAAGACAAAGCUUAGAGUACUUGAGCUAAGACCAAGCAACAUCCCAUAUGUCGCAGUUUGGAGCAAUUGGGUGAAGAGUAGGACUAGCAGCACUUUUAAGGUUGUAUUCAUUGUGAAAUUUGAUUUUCUAAAGUAAAUUUACAAGAAAAUGUUAAUAAUGUUGCAUUGGGUUUGAUUUGUAGGUACAAAGUGACAAAUUUAGGCAAUUAAGGAGGGCACAAAUUCCACAUACUACCAGUCGAAAAGGAAUGAUUCGCCUGGCUCAAGAGAUGGUAAGUUUAUAUAGUUUUUGGUUACGAAUAUCUCCUUGAAAACAAUAGUGAGUUCUGCUGCUAUUUAAAUUAAUAUUUGGUCGUCGAAAAAAACGAGUUUAGACCCAAGGAAGGUGACAAGAAGCAAGGUUUGGGUAGCAGGACACACACAUUCUGAUGGGAGACCUGUGAAGCCAGAGUUUGAAGAGACCAUUGUAAGAAGUUGUCCUUUAUUCUAUUAUCAUUUUCUUGAUCAAUUUGUUUAUCAAGAUUUGUGUUUUGUUUCAGGAAAAAAUAAAGUCAAUUGACAGUGAAAUGGACUCCACAUCUAAUACUAAUAUUAGAGAAGAUGUUGUUAGUCAAGUAUUAGGAAAGGACAAACCCGGGAGAGUCAGAGGGAUGGGCAGAGGGGUUACUUUUUCUAAGCUAGCUUUCAUGCAAGUUAGAGAUUCACAUGUGCAGCAGCUUGAAGCUAAACAAGCUGAAUUGAUCAGCAAACUUGAAGACUUGCAGAAUGUCGUUCAUGACUUAGCUGGCAAAAAUGUAUGUUUCUCACCUCUGUUAUGAUAGUGAUGUAGUCUUUAUUUUACUGAUGCCCUUUUUUGUUCUUCACAGUUUCCAACAGAUAGUCACUCAAAAUCAGAAGCAACUAGUAUAGUAAAGUAGUUAGAUGUCAGCUACUGGAUUGGAAUGCGUCUACUGAAGUUGUUGUUGGAGAAGGAGAAUUCUGCUAAUUGAACAAACUUACAAGAUUGGUCGUAUAAGACUUGGUCCAAACGCAGCAGCUAUUAUUGUGAGGUCUGUCCUAGUCGAAGAUGCAUAUGUCUGGAGACCUACACCAACCAUUUGCUCACUUGGGCAAGCUUUGGGGAGUAAAAUUGCAUGGCCAGCUGAUAAGGUGAUAUUGGACAAUGAUGAGCACACAACUGAAAAUAAGACUGCUAGCUCCACGGUACUUUCUAACUUCUAACUUGAUUUAUUCUUAAAUGUGGAACUUAAGUGGAACUUUGCUGAUAUAUAUGCCUGAUUACAUAGGAUACAUCAACAGAUAGAGUUCGCAUUAUUGAUUGGACUUUUGAUGAAGUUAUAGCUGAAGGUAUAUUAUGUUCAACUGAUCCAAAAGAAAUGGUGAACAAUACUCAACUAGGUCUGAAUGUUGCAGUUGUUAAAGUUGAUCUGGUAAUUAAAGGCGAUGCUUUUUUGUGGAGACCAAGUAUUGAAAUGUCAAUGAUGAGUGAAGCACUUAAUGAGAACAUCGUCUGGCCUAUUCAGAAGAUACAAUUUAUAAGUUCAUCGUCGGUACAUGAAUCAGCUAACAGACCAUCACCACUACAGGAAUCACCUACCAGACCAUCAUCAACGGUAUGAUAUUUCAUCUUCUGUGAAUUUGUUUAGAUACAGUUGAGUAGCUGCAAUGGUGAGAACUGCUCUAAUACAUAUAUACAUUCAAAUUUUAAAUUGACAGACUCUAAGUAACACUUCGGGUAACAUCAAUGGUGGGAAACAGAAGUGUAUUUUGCUGGAUAUCAAUAACUUUAGCCAAAGAGUUGCAGAAGGCAAGGUUUGUUCAUCUAAACCUGCAGAUGUUGUCCACCAUGUCCCCUUAGGUCAGAAUGCUAGCAAGGUAUGGGUCGAAGUUUCAAAGAUUGGAGAUGCAAAAGUGUGGAGGCCAAAUUCAGAAAUUCAAUUCAUUUCCGAUGCAAUAGGCACUAUUGUAGCUUGGCCUAAUGACAGACUCAUGUUACUCUGAACUUGCUGAACUUGAUGUAAUUUUUUUACUUUUUUAUCACAAACAAAGAUUGUAUGAAUUUUAGAUGUUUUAUUGAUUUUAUGAAAUUUAAUUUCUUUUCAAAUUGAUUUUUACAAUUUGGUUGACCUGUCACAACAAUUAUUUCUGAAAUUGAAAUUAUUAAUUCGUAAAACGAAAUUAAAUUUUAUAUAUUUCCAGAAUUCAGUGAGAUAUAUAGUAACAUUUCACUAACGCUAUUUAUGAAUUAUUAAUAACAAAACAAUAGUGCUAUUAUAAAAUCUACAGUAGCAAACAAAUAAACGCUAUUAAAGAUAAUUUUAAGAUAGCAUAAACAAAAAGCGCUAUAUAAAGUGUUCGACCUAUUAUCGCGGUUGAUGAGAUAGCGUUUUUAUUAACGCUAUCUAUUUAUACGAUAGCGUUAUUCAGAUGUUAUUAAUUCUCGUUUUUCCUGUAGUGGAUUACUUAAGAUCCUUGUUUAUUGGUUGCUUUUAAGGAUAGAUCAACCUUGAUCAUGUUGAUUUAGACACUAGGAAUUUCAUGCCCGGAAGGUGUUCGAUGAAUUUCCCGAACCAAAAUCUUUAAGUGAUUUUCAUACCUUACCUUUGGAAAUUGUUGAUUAGGGUGAUUAAUGGCUAGAUAGACUUGUUAUUUAUGCUUAUUGAUCAACUGAUUGCCUUUGGAAAUUGUUGAUGAUAGAUUGAUUAGUAAAGGGAUUAAUAUCAUGGAAAUAUGUUAGUCUUGCUUAGUGUUCUAUGGCCUAAGGAUCAUUGCUUGUUAGAAGUUGUUUGAUGCUCCAUCUCUUUAUCAUUUCUAAUCGAUUACCUUAACCCGAGAAUUCGUCUUUAGUUAUCACUUAGUAAUUUGUUAAUUUUCCGCUUUGUUUACAUUUGAAACUUGUUAGUCUUUUGUUUCUUGCUUUCUUUUAUCUUGUUUUGCAUUGUUUGCUUGAUAAUGCAUUGUUACUAAGAUUUAGAAUACUUAAAAUCAUCUUGUUAGCUUAGAUUAAGCAAUUGUGUGUAUUCUUGGUGAGUUGAUUAAUUGCAAAUUAUGGUUCCAUAAACAAUUGAAAACAAAUGCUACAUCAAAUGUUAUGUGAUGCUGGAUUACAUGCUUGCUUGGGAGAAGUGUUUGUUCAUAGCCCUUAUCACAGUGAUUAUGUCUUCGGAGGAAACUGUGAUGUCAAUGAUCGAGUAAAGACUGUGUGGUAAGUGUCAAUACCAAGUAGUUAAUUUGGAAUUUGUGUUUCAUAUAAUCUUAAUACAAUUUUGUUGUGUCACAGCUGGAGGCAACGCUUAUUCAACUCUAAUGUCUGCAAGUUCCUCUUAUGAAUUACUUUCAUAUUUCAAGACCUUGAGAGCACAUUAUCUGCUCAUGACAUAUGCUUCACACAAGCUGCGGAUUCGCUCUACCUUAUUAUGCUUGAAUUUCUACAGCAAGUUCACGCUCCUGUCUAUGGUUAGAUUCUGAUAAACAUAUAUAAUUAACCUUGUUGUCAAUGAUCAAGUAAUGACUGUAGUAGUUGUAGUAUUUGCGUUUCAUUUGACAUUAAUAUUGUUUUGUUCUAUCAUAGCUGGAGCAUGACAGAAAGAAGUUGCAACUCAGUGAUACAUGAGGCAAUGUGAAGGAGUUGUUCAAUGAACGCAGAGCAAUAGUGUAAGUCUCUACAUUUGGGAAAAACGCUCUAUUUCCCGCCGAGAACUAUGGACAUCACGCCAGAUAGAGCAUGUUCUUUCACCUCGGUCUAUUUACCCAUGAGUUGGAAGUUAAAUGCUGAUUUCCCCACCAAAUCAAAGUUCUACAGCUUAAUGUCCCCGAGACUGUGUUUUCUUGGUUUGGUGAGUAAACCCUAUAGAAAACGAAAUACUGGUCAUAAGUAAACCAAAAAUAUAUCUUAUUCCUUUUAAAAACCAGACCCAAUAUUCAUCCCCAAAUUUUUAAAAUCAUUGCUCGAUAAAUUCCCAUCUAAGAACCCUGAAACAUCAAAAUUUUAAUUCCCUUCAGUUCGAUUAGAAAACUCGAAUUCAAUUUCGAUGAGCAAUCUAUCUACUAGUUUGACGGGAUCUACAAGUUCUCGUGGAAGAGGAAGAGUCGACAGAAUGCCAAAAAGAUGUUGGUGUAGGGAAGGAAUUGUUGCCCUAACAUCCAAAUCCGAUACGAAUCCUUAAAGAAGAUACUUUCGUUGUGGUUUUGCUGCAACAAACAAGGUAAUUUCAUUGAUAUUCAUCAAUGUUUAAGCUGAAUUAGAUUUUUUUACUUAUGAAUUUUAUUGUUCAUUGAUAGCUAAGGAAUGAUGAACACACUUUCAAGUGGGUUGAUGAAGCUUUGAUCAAUGAUUUAGACAAGUUUAAUGCAAAGAUUGGGGAAGUUGAACAACAAGUGAGAGAGCUUAGAACACAGAGUUUGGAGUUUGAGAAAAUGGUUUGUGAGAAAGUCCAAAUGAAGAUUGAGAAUGAGUUAUUUGAGAAAGUGGACGAUGCUUUGGCUGAAUCAAAAGAAGGCAAUAAGAAGAUGAUGAUCGUCGUAGUGAUAGGAUGUAUGAUCAUGAUUGGAUUGAGCAAAUUAGUCGGAUGAAUGUUUAUGUCUCGGUUUAGAUUGAACAAAGUAGUGUUAGGAUGCUUUGUGUUGUUACUCUUGUUUGUUACUUUGUUUGACUUUUAUGAUUAAGGUAUUUUGUUCGGAUGUUUAAGAAUGGUAUGUUGUUUCGAUGAAUGUUUAUGUCUCGGUUUUCAUCUCUUGUUGUCCUUUUGUUUGGCAUACAACUAUGAACAUUAAUCCACAAAAGAUGCAAUAACAAAAUAAAUACAAUAUUCAAAAGUAGUACAUAACAGCCAAGGAUACAUAAGAGUCAAAACAAGUACCCAUAAUAUCUGAGAAUACAAAAGAACUAAGGUUCAUAACAUCCGAGAUAAAAGAAGUGCCAUACUAGCCCUACUAAGCUAUUACAUAGAGAUCAAACUUGAGUGAGUGAAUCUUGACUUGGUUCAGGUUGAAAAAGCUGUGAAGCUGAUUGAGAAGCCUGUAAAAAAAGCUGAAUUAUGUUAGUAUAAUCCAACAGUAGCCACAUACAUAAAGAGAAUGUCACAAUUUUGUUACCACAUGUAAAGCAUUUUUUCAUAUUUUUUAUUUAAAUUUAAUAUUGUUUAUUUGUGCUCCAUAUUAAAAACUUUCCUGGAUCCGCCAACGGUAGUGUUUUUACGUAUAUCAUUUUUGCAUUUAUCUUUUUAAAAAAAUUUGGAUUUCAAAUCCAAAUUCCAACAAAAAGUUGCUAUGUCCAACUCAUCCCAAACCUAGAACUAAGUCCACAUCCCAUAUAGAUGAUGUGUCAAAAUACAAUCUGAAUCAUAUUAAUAAAAGAGCUGAUAGAUCGACUUCUAGUUGAAAGAAAAUGUUAGAAAGACAUGGGUUUUAGUUUAACUAUAUUGGUUAUAUUUUUCCUGAAAUAAUUUCAUAAAUCUAUUAAAAAUAUUGAUAAACUGAAACACUAAUUUUCUUAUAGUCAAAUUUAGUGACUCGGGUGUCGGAAAGUUUUUGAAAUAAACAAUCCUCAUAUAUUUUCAUACUUAGACAUAAGGUUUUUUGUUGCCGACCUAUAUGAUCUUUUCUUAAUUUGCGAAAAAGCCCACGUAAUCCCCAAAAAAAUAAAAAAAGUAUAAAUGUACUGUAAAAUAAUCCGGGCUACGUACGGACAUACAAAUCUCCAAUUUUAUAUUUUAUGUUAUUGAAAAAUCAACUUAUAUAUUAUAAAAUUGUCUUUUUAACAAUAAAAACCAACGUGUUUAUUGUUUGGCUGGAAACAGAAGUCGCACGGUCUUGCCAUUGGUUACUAUCUUACUGGUGGUGGUAGAUACCAUCAUCAACACGAAUAUUCUUUGGUUGUCGGCUAGAAUAUUUUAACAGGCCAUAUUUAGCUUUUGGUUGUUGGCUAGAAUAUUUUAACAGGCCAUAUAAAAUCACUUUAGGUUUCUUCUCUACAAAUCAUGUAUUUGGUAACAUAAGCUAGACUAAAUAAACAUUAGUUGAAAGUAAUAAUAUGGCAGAAAUUAACAGCACCUUGUAAAUUAUUUGAGAUUACAUAUAAUAUUAAUCUUAGUUGACGAAUUUUCAAUACAUAUUUAUUUUAUUCGUUUGUCUGUCGCUAGACUCAGCCAUAUUAACCAGCGACAAAUUACAUUGUUCGUUUGUCUGCUGUUAUAUUCAUCGAUCAAUUGCAGCGACUAUAAUUGUUGCUAUCUUUGCGGUUUAGUCUCCUGAGCCGGUUUUAUGUCUUGCGAACCGAUUCUUCAACUCCAUCAUUUAUUCUAUCAUUAGUCAAAAAUAAUAUCUCUUACGAACUACUUCGUUUAACCUAUAAAAAUCGUUAAAAAAAAACCCAGCUAUCUCAUACACGAAGCUGUCUAAACUCCGAAGCAAUUUAUAACAACGUACCUCAUACGUGAGAGUGGUGCAAGUUAAUCCCACCAUCACUAUAAUAGACGGUUUUCUAAAAGCUUGAAAAUAUGAGAGAUGACAAAGCUCGACAUUGAUAAGCUUUGAUAGAAGUUGAAAUAUGACUGUUCCAAAUAACGUAACAGUUAGAGAUAUAUGAGCUUUCCAAAUAACGGAACAGUUAGAAAUAUAUGAGCUUCUUUAUAUCUAUUCAUUAUAUCAUUCUGAAACGACUCAUAACAAACAAAAUAAAUCUACAUCUUCACAUGAUUGUGAUAUAAACACAAUGUAUUAAUCAGAGAAAUUGGAAAAAAAAAAAAGGAACUUGCUAAACAUCAACAACACCCAACGAAAACCCCUAGUGGUUAAAGAUAGAUACCACUAAGACUAACAGUAACAUAUGAAGUUCAAAAAACACAAGUAAUCUAAAUAAUCGAGCAUUCUUAUGGUCAUCGCCCAAACUGGAUAUUUGAUCACGUUUGUAUCAAUUCGUAAGGAUUAUAAUAAUAAAAAAUAUAAAAAUCAUAAGAUCACUUUUGUCGCUUGUACUGGUCACCAAACUGAUUAUGCACACUGAUAAGCAAUAUACUAUCAAUCUUUGUCCCAACAUCUGCUUGAGAAGUUUUUUUUUUUUUUCUACAAUGUUAUAUAUGCCUCGUCAAUUCUACAGCUUAACACUAUUAUCAAUGGUAGUUUCUCAUGCUAGCUCUUAGAUAAAUUAGGUAUUAAAUUUCAUGUUUAAAAUGAUUAAUUGUUAAGAAUGACUUUUAUAUAAGAGUCAGAUCUAAUAUUUCUUAGAUUAGUUCUUAGAUAAAUUAAGUAUUAAAUCCAAUAUUUCAAUUCAAUUAAUCUUAGUUCUUAGAUAAAUUAGGUAUACUAAAUCUAGUCGUUUUCGUUUAUGUUUACGUCAUAUUUGUUUAAACUUUUAUGUCAUGGAUCUUUUAAAUUUUAUGAGUUGUACUGAUUAUUAAGUUUUUCAAAAUUAAAAUGUUUAUAUUUUUUAUUUUAAAAUAUAUUUUUUUAAGAACUCCAAAUUAAGAGGCCACAACUGCAUAUCGUCAAAAUUUUAAUCUCUUAGCCAAAAUCUUAACAUCAAAAUUUUUAAAAUCAAUUAUAAAAAUAUUCCUAAGAACUAUAUUAAGAUUAUGCUAAGAAACUACCGUUGAUUAUCCUCCGAGUCCGAUUUACUUUUGUUCCUUGAAAAGAAAAAAAAAACACAGAAGAAUUAGAUACUGCCAAAAAAUAACAAUAACAUGCAAACCUUUAUGUGAAUUCCCUAAGACCUGCCUGCAAUCUAAUCCGUAUGAUGGAUUAACCUCUGAAAUCUAACCCAUAAAUUUUGAUGUGUCUCUAGAGAGCAUUGAGAAGCCUAAUUUAUAUUGAAUUUUAUUCGUUUGUGAUGAAAUUUAGAAGACGAAAGGGUAAUCUGGAAGAGAAAGAGAGGCGAGGAAGUGAAGAGAUGAAACGCUUCGGAAACCUAAUUUUUUCCGUUUACUUGCAACUAUUGGAUCCUUAAAAUGUUAAGCUAAGAGAUUGUGAAUCACAUUUUAAGAGUCUUUGGUUUCUUAAAAACUAACUAAUUAUUUAAAAACAAUUGUUGCUUUCACAGUAUAUUGUCAUAUUGUGGUGUAUAUCAAAAAGGCAAAAUCUUAACUAAACUCCAAUAUUUUGGAAAAAUGUGAACUACUUCCAAUUUUGGAUAUAUCAACAAAAACAAAAGACACUACAUCAUGACAAAGAAAAAAAAAAAGAGUCACUUUUGAUGACCAGUGAUAGAGAUGAAGAUUUGGUCGUAAAGUAGGGAAGAUUCAAAAAUUCACGACUCAUUACUAUAUACUAUUAACUUUCCUUUAGAAGAAAUAACACCGUAUCUCUCCAAUAUUUUAAACUAUAGUUAGAAUAUAGCUUGUUAAUAUUUUGUACAGCGCAUAGAGAUUUCCUUAUUGAUUCUGUUGUCUAGUCUAUAUAUAUCGUUGAAAGGUGUAUCUCGAGAAACACAACCAUCUUACUCUACAUUUCCCAUUUUUGAGACUCCUAAAUCAUUUUAACCUUCUUCCUCAAUCGUGACCAUCACCAAUGACGCUACACGUCAUUGAGACUGCCCGAGUCACCCCCACCGACUACUCAGUCAUCAACUCAGCCAACUUGCACAAACUUCCUUUAACUUUCUUCGACCUUCCAUGGCUACUAUUCCAGCCAGUCAAAAGAGUCUUCUUCUACGAGCUCACCGAGUCUACUCGUGACCAUUUCCACUCCAUUAUCCUCCCUAAGCUCAAGGACUCUCUGUCCCUUAUCCUCCGUAACUAUCUCCCUCUCACUGGCCACAUCACUUGGGAGCCAAACGAGCCAAAACCGAGCAUAAUCGUCUCGGAAAACGGCGUCGUUUUGGUGACUAUAGCCGAGAGUGACGCUGACUUUUCUCAUCUUUCCGGUUAUGGACAGCGUCCUUUGUCAGAGUUACAUGCCUUGGUUCCCAAGUUACCGGUUUCUGAUGACUCAGCGACCGCUUUCUCCAUACAAAUCACGUUGUUUCCUAACCAAGGAUUCUCCAUAGGUGUUGCAGCACACCAUGCUGUUUUAGACGGGAAAACGUCAAGCACUUUUAUCAAAGCUUGGGCUCAAAUCUGCAAACAAGAACUUCAAAGCAUGCCGGAGAAUCUAACUCCGUCUUAUGACCGGUCUUUGAUCAAAUAUCCGACCUAUCUUGAUGAAAAGAUGAUAGAGUUAGUGAGAUCUCUCAAAGAGGACCAAACCAACAUCAGAAGCUUGACUUCGCUUCCCUCUAGUAAACUCGGAGACGAUGUCGUGUUAGCCACGCUAGUUCUCUCUCGGGCUGAUAUUGAGAGACUUAGGGAACAAGUCAAGAACGUGUCACCGAGCCUCCACUUGUCGACUUUUGUCAUUGCUUACGCUUACGCGUGGACUUGUUUCGUGAAGGCACGUGGAGGUAAUAAAGACAGAUCAGUGAGUCUCUUGUUCGUAGGAGAUUUCAGAGACCGGUUAGAUCCGAAGCUCCCGGGGACUUACUUCGGAAACUGUAUGAUUCCGGUGGGCUGUUAUAACCGUAAGGCGGCGGAGUUUAUGGAAGAGAAGGGAUUUGUGACGGCGGCUGAGAUUAUUAGCGAUUUGGUGAAAGGGUUGAGUUCAAGAAAGAUAGAGACCAUUGCGGACACUUUCGUGGAAGGAUUUAGUUUUCAGAGUUGGAGUACACAGUUUGGGACGAUAGCCGGGUCGACCCGGUUGGGAGUAUACGAGGCGGAUUUCGGGUGGGGAAGACCCGUUAAAGUUGAUAUUGUCUCCAUUGACCAAGGAGAAGCGAUCGCAAUGGCUGAGAGACGUGAUGAGUCAGGUGGCGUUGAGAUUGGAAUGUGUUUGAAAAAGACUGAAAUGGAUUCGGUCGUGUCUUUUUUCAACAAUGGUUUACAUAGCUAAACUCUUGUUUUGUAAGAUUUUAAUAAUAAGGUAAUGCUUGGUUAGUUAUUCUUGUUUUUUUCUCACAAGAAGUAUUGGGCAUAAUUCUCCACUAAUAAAUAAGUUUAAAUAAAGAUAUAUUAGUAAAAGUCUCCAAAAACACAUAUAGAAGAAAACAAGAUUUCUUCAGAAACUAGAACAUUUAUACACUAGAAAAACAUCUCAAGCCAUCUCUUAAAAAAAGAUGAGAAUUUUAGACUAUCACUCUUCCACUAUGAAAAAUGUUAUAAGUCAUUCCAACCUAUUCAUCGUUAUAAUCAUUUUUUCAUCAAGUAUAUCUCUAAUUCAUUACUUGUAUCUCCAAUUUUUUAGAUUAUACAAAAAAAUAUAUCAUUUUGACAGCCAUCAUCAUAAAAAUGUCUCAGUCACUUGAUUCAUCUUUAUCUAUAGGAAGAUCUAGAGACAAAAGAUAAUGUUCUAGCAUAAUCACGGACAAAGAUAAUGUCCUAGCAUCACAUCCAUUCAUCACUACUGGAUCCCGUAUUGUCAUAUAUUAUGCACUAUCAUAUAUCAUGGACCAAUUAUGAAAAUAGCACUUAAAUGCUUAUCCCUUUGUAUGAAGCGACACUUUUUUGUAUCUUAUAACUUUAGGUAUUUCUUCCACUUUUUUUUACGGUUUUAUUCUUACGUUCCACCAAAUUUCUUCCACCUACAAAUUAUUUCUCUAUCUUUCUACCAUUCCCAGACCAGAUCAAAUUCAAACUGAUUUGUAGUAACGGUUCUUUCAUUUUGGAAUAUAGAACUCAAAAUCGAUAUUUUUAUUAUGAUUUUGGAUUUUCUAACUGAUUCAUAUUGAGUUUCCUAAAUAAAAAAUCCAUAAAUUACCAACAAAACUCAGCAGCAACAUAUAAACAAAUUAAAUCGAAUAUAAACUUCCAAAGGAGACAAAUUAGGCAAAACCCCAAAUAAAUUUCAAAACCCAGAAAACGAACCAAUCAAAUUUCAAAUUCGAAAUCUCAAAAUCAAAUUUUUAUCAAAAGUCUAUUUAAGGUUUUUCCUUGGGUUCCCUAUAUACUAUCAUCCUAGGGUUUACUUAUAUUGAGACAAUGGGUAUUUGUAUAAGAAAUAAUUUUUUGGGAUAAACAGAUUAAAAUUUUCUGGAAAAAAUUAGAACGAGAAGCAUAGGAAGAAAAUGAAAAAAGAAGGAAACGAUAAGAUAUUCCAGGAGCAAAAUCGUUAAACCAUCAGUUGAGAAAUACCCAUUCUUAUAAGCCAUGAUAAAUGUACAUUUUCUCAAGUUUUUAGGCUUAAAUAUGCCUAUUUGAACAAAAGCCCCCAUAGAUCAUACAAAAUUUCAAAACAAAAUGAUUCAAAAUGCAUCUUUUUCCUUGACCCAAAAUAAAUAAAAGUUUAAGUAAAUACAAUGCUAUGAGAUUUACCAUUACCUAAACCCAUCAAAUUCCACAAAAAUACAAUUCUUCACUCGAAUCUGUGAGCAUAACUUUUAUCUUCCACUUUAUUUCGUUUUCAACAACAACUAGUGCGUUGAAGCUUUUAAAUAGUGAAAGUUUCUGAUUUUUCUAUCAUAAAAUAUAUGAAAAUUGCACUCAACGGCCAUAAAAAUUUAACAAUAUGCCAACUAACAACAAAAAUCUAACAACUAUUAAAAAUAGAUGCGUUUAUGGAUAAUCUGUGACUGGCUGUAGCAAUAACGAUUAACAUAAAUUAAAAUCUACAAAAAUACAUACAAACUAUAAUUUAAAUUGAAAACCAAAAACUAUAUUAUUAUAAUAAAACUUCAAAAUUCUUAAACUAAUUAAAAAUAUUGAUUAACUUUAACAGUUUCAACCGUUUUUCCAUAUUUUGAAUGAUCUCAAAAAAAUGUAAAAACACUAUAAUUAAUCAUAAAGACGUCGGUCAAGAAACACUGCUUAAUAAUCAAAGUAUACCAAAAACUUUAGAACACUAAUUCAACAUUACAAUAAAAUAACAAAUAAAUGUGCACUAAAUUCUUUGCUUGGACUUUGGAUUUUUAAUGAUCCAUUCCAUCUAAUGGUAACAUUUCAUUUUUUUGUACUUUUAACAACUCGAAAUUCAUUUAUAAGAAGAUGAUAAAAUGUAAUUCUUCAUGUAAUUGCGAAAUUUAUUUGACAUAGGAAUAUUUAUUUGUAGAUAUCGAAAUCACUGGUAAAUAAAGAAAGAAAAACAUUCAUCUCACAUUUCUUCAAAGAGAUACCAAUCUCCAAACCACCAAUCUCAUCCCUCCUUGCCGACAUAGAAAACUCAUUGUUCUUGUAAAGAGACAUAACAUCAGUCUUAACAGGUCUUCCCCACCCGAAAUCCGACCCGUAUAUCCCAAAUUGGUUUGAUCCUGUAACAGUCACAUUCUGUGUAUCCAAUUUCAUAUUUUUUGUUCCAUCCUCAUACACUUCCCAUAUUGACUCAAUGUUUCGUGAACCCAAACCUCUAACCGAAUCACUUAAAAUCUCAACUCCGUUAACGUAUCCAUCUUUUCCUAGAAACGUUGUCGCUUUGUAUCCAUUGAAAUCAAUUGGUAAGACACAAUUCCCAAAAUAUGUCAAAGGAACCGGUGGAUCUAACCGGUUUCUGAAAUCAGCAGCAUACAUAAACCGAACCGGUCGAUUCGCGUCUCCUCCACACGACUUAACCAUGCAAGUCAACACAUAAGCGUACGAGACUACGAACGUUGAUAAAUGAAGAUCGGACCGGGUUGACUCGUUCUUGGCUCGUUCUUUAAGUUUUUCGAUAUCCACUUCCGUCAACUCGAGCGUGACCCGAACAACGUCGUUAUCGAUCUCUUUAGCCGGAGGAAGCGUUAAGGUUCUUGCAUAGUCUUUCUCCUCUGAGAUAUACGAAGAGAGCUGAAAGAUCUUUUGCUCGAGUCCGGCCGGAACAUUGAUGACCGUACGAUCUAAAACCGUAGGUAGAUCAAAAUCUUGAGGUGUGGUUCCGUGUUUACAUAUAUGAGCCCAAGAUUUAUGAAACUUUGACGCAGUUUUGCCGUCCAUGACGACAUGGUGAACUGUUGUUCCGAUGGAGAAACCUUGGUUUGGAAAGAGAGUGAUUUGUAGAGAAAGAAGAGACGCUGAGUCAGAGGAAACUUGUAACUCGGGGACAAGAGGACGUAAUUCAGUCUCCAGACGAAGUUCUUUGCUAGAGAUAUAAGAGAAGUCAGCUUCGGACUCGACCACUGUGAGAGAGACAGUGUCUUUGGGGAAGAUGACUAUGUGUGGUUUAGGAUCUUGGGGGUUCCAUUUGAGGUGACCGGAGAGUGGGAGGAAGUGGGAGAGGACGAGGGAGAGGGAUUGUUCGAGUUUGGGGAGGAUGGAAGAGAAGAAGGAGUCACGAGAUGACUCGGUGAGUUUGUAGAAGGUAACUCGCUCUAUGGGAUUGAGUUUUAGCCAUAGUAAAUCAAAGAAAGUGAGUGGGAGAACGAGUGGUUCGACUGAGUUAGUUACAAGGCUGACUCGAGAGAUCUUGAUCACGUUUAAGGCCAUCGUUGACGGAGACAAUCUCACUUGGACUCUUUUUUUUCAGACAGUUUUCAAACAGACUACUGUUUUGGUGUGCCAAAUAAACAUCUAUUCACUUAAUUAUCAAAAGCAUGGGAAUAAAAUAUGACAAUCCCACUACCAUAUGAAAGAUGCUUUUGGUAGGUAAAGAUGUUUUUUAGUUAUAUCAUACUGCAUUUCAAAACAAAAUGAUGCAAAAAAAAUUCCUUAGACCUCAAUGAUUAAAAGUUUUAGGUGAUUACAAUGUUAUGAGAUUUUCCAUUACCUAAACCCAUCAAAUUCCCUUUGAAUACAAUUUUUCACUAGAAUAUGUGCGCAUAACUUUUAUUUUCCUCUUUGUUUCGUUUUCAACUAAAACUAAUGCUUUGAAGCUUUUAAAAAUGAGAAAAAUGUCAGAAAAAAUUCCCAGUUGUGCAAAAGUAUUGAAAAACAAAAUCUUCACCUUACUAGGUGAUGAAAUAUAUAAUCAACUUUCGUUCAUUUCUAAUUAAAUCAUUAAAUUUUGUUGGUUUCUUAGUUUAAUAGUGAAAUUUAGCACUUUGCCAAAAUAGUCAAUUAGUCAUCAUGAAUUUGACUAACGAAAUAAAUUAACAUAAUUAAGUCUCGGCUGAAAAUCUUAAUAAGUGAACGUAGAUUUCAACAGAGACGUAACACUGUUAAUUUAUUUCGUCAUGCAAGCUUAACGACGUGACUAUUUUGGAAAACUGAACAAAAGUUUACGAUUAAAAUGAGAAGUCAACAAAACUUUACGAUUUAACUGAAAAAUCAGCAAAAAUUGAUUAUAUAUUCCAUUGAAGCCAAAGUUGGGGAUUUCUUUCAACAUUUUUUCACAGUUCAAGAUUUUUCCGACAUUUUUCUUUUUAAAAAUAGGGAAAUUUCUUUUUGUUUUUCUAUCAUAAAAUAUAGGAUAGUUGCACUGAACCAGCAUAAAAAUUAAAUAAUAUGCCAUCAAACCAUAAUUUUUUUAAUAACUAUUAAAAAUUUGUGACUCUUUCACAGCUUUCACAGCAGUAGCAACAAUGUUUUACAUAAAAUAUACCAAAAAUACAUACUAUGUAUAAUAUAUUUUGAGAACCCAUAAUUAUUUCCUCUAAAAAAAUUUCUUCAAAUUUGUUAAAAAGUUUUAAGAGAUUUACAACAUUUGAAUAUACAAAACAUUUUUAAUAGUUAUAAAUAUCUUUUCAUUUAAUUUAUAUAUAUAUAUAUAUAUAUUAUGUAUAUAAUAUUUAAGAAUCUGUUAUGAUAGUGUUUAACAAGAGAAAACAAUUAUUUAUUUAUUUUUAGUGAAUUAUUAUGACUAAUGUAGAUAAAAGGAAUUUUUUAAUUUUGGCGGAAAAAAGCUUUCAAAAUAUUUAGUUCAAACAAAUAUAUAGAUUUGUAGCAGUAUAAAAUGAUUUGCGUGAUUGUUGUUAAAAGCUAACAACCGUAACCGCCUACAAAACAUAAUGUUUGCUGGUAAUUGGCGAAAAACCAAUCAAGCAAAUUUAAAACAUGAAAAAAACAAAAUCAUACAUUAAACAGUGGAAAUUGGAGAGAUUUGAACUAAAAAAAAAAAAAUACAUUCCCCAUCAAAAUUAGAACUGACACCUCCACAAUUAUUAAACUAUCCAAACUUUAAAAUAUAUCUCGACUAAGAGAAAUCAAAACCUCUUCAUCGAUAUUCUCUUUCAGGCCUCCUCCGGAAAUGAUCACCUCUUAUAUCUAUACUAAGUUUUCUUCAUACUAAAAAGUACAUAUUGUCUUGCAUCAUAAGAUGAUCUUCUUAAAGAGACAAGUGCAUAUUCACUCGUUCAAGUUAGUAGAAAUCCGACUUUUCUUCUUGGGAUGGAAUAGAACACAAUCUCUCUUAAUAAUUCAUUCAGAUUUAUGGUUUUCGGUAGGGAUGUUAAAGAUGGGUAAAAGUCCAGUGGGAACCCGAAACCCGCUUAAAAUUUAAAGCCUAAAGAUCAAUGUAUUGUUAAAAAUAAAGUAGGCUCAAAACGAGCGGAUCUUAUUUACGUAGAGUUGUAUGUGGGCUUUACCCUGUCGGGUUAUGGAUAUCCAUGGACUUUUUUCCUUCUAAACUUAAUGUACUAAAACGACAUCAUUUUUUCUCUCCUAAAAUCCCUAAAUCCCCAAAUUUGGUUUCUCUACGUGUUCUUCUUCUCUACCAAUUUUAAUUCCUAAAUUUGAUUCAUCUCUAUCACUCUCUCUCUUCAAUUUGAUUUGUGAUAAACCCUAGUCUCUAGGCUCCGAAGCUCACUCUCGCCUCUCUAGGAUAAAAAAACAGAGAAGAAACUCAGAAACAGAGCAUUUGGGAGGAAGAAAACGGACCCAAUUCCCUUUGACCCACCGGUUACAAGAGUAGUCAUACCUUGAAGACUCCACCUGUUAAUAUCCAUUGUUGUGUUGUGUGUGUUACGACACUUAGUCACUAUAGCCACAAGUAUAAUCAGUUAGAAUGAUAAGUUUAACUAGAAUCUAACCCGUGGUACACCACGGAGCAAAUAUUUUAUUUAUAUAUAUAAUAAUAUUAAAUUUUACCGUUUUAUAUUUAGUAUUAAAGUUAUAUUAUUUUCUAUUAAUAGUAUAAUUAAAAAAAUUAGUGAUGAUAAAAAAAUAAAAUAAAUAUUUAACAUGUGUUAUAUCAAUCCAAACCCGUCUCCUUGUAUUUCAUAUCAAUCUAAACCCGUCCUGUUAUACUUCUCGUCUCAUGAUAUUUUAAUUUUUAUGUUUAAAUAUUAAUAAUGUUUCAUAAAAUUAAAAUAUAUCAAUAAUAUUCUUUAAAAAUAAUAAUUGUUUUUGACUUUAAUGUAAUGACAUUCUUUAUAAAUUCUUACUUUACUUCAAAAAUACUUCAAAAAGGUACUACAAAAGUACUUCAAAAAGGUACUUCAAAAUUUUUAAUAUAUAUAAUGUUAUGUUUUGGUAAAAAUUAUUAUAAAUAAAGAUUUAGUUUAAUCAUAAUUUGGGAUUGAUAUACAAUACUUGUGUUUUUGACUAUCUAUUUUUUAUUCUAAUAACCUAAAUUUAGACAUUUUGUUAAUCCUACUAUAUUAUUUGGGAAGUACAUUUUAAAUGUAACCUUAAUUUUUGUAAGUAAUUACAUAGGUAUGCCAUUAGAAAUAAAAUUUUAAAGAGUAUCUCUUUAAGGAUUAAAAAGUCAAAUACUAGUUUAAUUAAUUAAAUUUAAUUAAAAAACGAAAUACAUUAUUAAUUUCCAAAAAUAAUAACCAAUCAAAAUCAACAUAUAAGAUUUGAUAUCUAAAUUUUAAUUAAUUUAAUUUAAUUAGAAAAACGAAAUACAUUAUUAAUUUCCAAAAAAGUAACCAAUUAAAAUCAACAAAUUAUAUUUGAUAUCUAAAUUAUCAUAUUAAUUUUUUAUUAAUUAUUAUAGUUCAUUUCUCAUCUUUAUAUGAUUCUAUUUUUGCGGAAAAAUAAUAUCAUCAUUAUAAAAAAAUAAUUAGAGUUUUUUCCCAUAUGUCAUAAUUUGAAUUUUUAAAAACAAAUAUAAACUGUUCAAUACAUAAAAAAAUAUUAUAACGGAUAAAAAAUAGAUUUAAGAAAAUUUUCUACUGAGUAACGGGUCAUAAUUUGAAAUAUUUAUAUUCAAUUUCAUACAUAUUAUAUUGAAAAUUUAUAAUCUUAUAUACUACAAUAAUUAAUAACAUAUUAGAUGUGAUUCAAUUUUUAAUACAAGUUGAAAAUCCUAGAAUUGCAUGUUUAGAUCGAUAUUAAUACAAGAUGGUAUACUACAGGUGAAACUCUUAAAUUAACAAUCAAACUACAAGUGUAUAAUCUUAAACACUAAACAAUAUAGAUAAUAUCAACAAAACAUAUACAACUCACAGUUUACUAUACAUUUAAAAUCAAAUAAAAUAAUAUCAAAUAUUUUUAAAUCAUCUUUAUAAUAAAAAAAUUUAGUUUAACUAAAAUAUAUACCGCAGGUUAAUAUCUAGAUUAUAGGGCUUAUUGGAUCUAAAGACGGAUCAUCAAAGAUUUCUUAAACUGAAGCAAAAUAUAUUGAAUAUUCAAAUAUCUAUCUGUUACCAAAUUAUAAACAAAUAAGUCAAUUUAAUAUUUUAUAUACGAAAUCAAUUAAAUCUUAAUCACAUAAAAAUUAGCACAAAAAAGUAUUCAUCAAUUAAAAAAAUAUCAAAUCUCUGUGUUAUAUAAGUUUUGAUACUAUAUUCGAAUAAAGUGUAAUAUACCUUUUCAAUUUGUAUUCUUUAACUAACUUAAGCUAACUAAUAUAUUUGCUAAUCUUAUACCUAUCAAAACCGACUAUCGUUUCUUAUCUCUAUAGUAUUUUUGCAAGACUUUUUUGGUGGAUUUGGAUAAAAGUGCAUUCGGGUCAUAUGGUACAUUCUCCUAUUAAAUAAAUAUGGUGCACUCCUAUGUUAUUAUCUAAAAUAUUUACAUUCUAAUUCAGAGUCAUAUCAUUAAUAAAAUUAAUAUUAAUAAAAUUAAUAUUAACAAAAUAAAUAGCUUUUUGGCAAGACGGAUUUGGAGGGACGGAUUUUUGAAUCAACAUUAAUAAAAAAGUAAAAUAUAAUUAAUCCAUCGUUUUAAUACGGGUUAGAUCUUUAAUUUAUUAUUUUUUAAGACCACUAAUAUUAAACAUAUCAAAUCAUCCUAAUUUAGAAAAGAUUAUAUAAAACCAAAAAUGUAAUGUGGUAUGUAUAAUGUUACUAUAUAUAAAAUUAAACUAUAGAUAUAAAUGUAUUAGAGAAUGAUACAAUUUGCAAAACUUUUCUAUAUAAAAAAUUAUUCUUAAAUUUUAAAAAUUACUAUUUUAAAAAAAAAUCACGGGACGGUAAAAAAAUUACAGAACGAGUUCUAUUUUGGAAUUGGGUUAUAUGGUGGAUGUAUUUGAAUCAAUAUUUAUAAAAUUUUAAAAUAUUAUUAAUAUGCUGUUUUAAUAGGGGUUAAAACUUCAGUUUUUUAACAAUUAUCUCAUGGAUUCGUGGUAUACCGUUACUUAAUAACAAUUAUAAACUGUAUAAUAUAAAUAUUUUAUAAAAGUAAAAUUUGCAAGUUUUAAUAUAUACUACUUUUAAAAAAAAAAUCAUCCCACGGGUUACAAUCUAGUCUAUAUUAUUAAUUGGGAAGCAUUGUGUGAUUGAAGGGUAGUUUAUAACUAAUUAAAUAAAUUUUUUACAUAGGUAAUAUAGUAAUUUAACAACUAAUCCAAAACACAUUAAUGAGUUUAAUAGGCUAACAAAUAGUAUGGAUCUUUUAACACACACGCAAAAUAAUUCAAAAAUAGAAUUCAUGUUUGAAUUGAUUCGACUAAUUGUAUUUGACUACCUUGCGCACCCAACUUUAUUGUUCUUCAUGGAUGUACUUUGAAAAAUAUGCAUAGAUAAUCAUAUAUUAUUUAUAUAAAUUUGUGUUUGAACUAUAUAAUAUAAAUCGUAUAUAGUUACAAUAUGAUACGUACAAACAUAUAUAUGCAAUAUGGUUCAGUUCAUAUGGUCACAUGGAAGCUCAACUAAUAUAAUUAUAGAAAUCUGUUUCGAAUUAGAUUAGUUUGUUAUAUAAAUUAUACGGAGCAUUUUGAAUUAGAUUUGUUUGUUAUAUAAAUUAUAAAAAUCUGUAUAAAUCUAAACUAAUAUAUAUGGUAAUCAUUUAAUGCUCAAUAAUAUCCUAUUCGUUUGUUGUAAAUUCUAACAACACGGAGAAUAUUGUAGCAACAUGAAUAAUCAUUUAAUAUUUCUAACAAUUAUCAUAACUCUAAAAUUUUGGAUCAUUCUGAAAGUAAAAAACCACACACACGUUUUGAACAAUCUCUUUUUACUAAUACCAUUGCUUAUACAAAAAUGAAUGUACUUGCUUUGGUCACAGACCUUGCUAACGUAAAGCCUUUCAAAAUCGAAUGGAAAAAUCCAAGUUAAGAUUUUGUAUUCAUGGACUUAAUACACGGAAUACUCAGAAGAAACCAUGGAAAUGAUCCUACCUGAUAAAAAUGUAAGUAUUGAUUUUCGUUUAAAUCUAGGUUAUAUCAGGAUUGUAUCUUUUAUAUUAUUAACACAAUUGUAUUUCACUAAUUUACUAAUUUACAGGGAACUUUGAUACAUGCUACUAUUAAGAAACAACAUAUGAGAGCACGCAAAACCAAACUAUUUAUAUAAAUAAAACACUAAUAAAUGAUGCAAAAAUUGUUAAACUUUAAAUAACUAAAAUUUCUAUUCAAAUUUUAAAACUAAGAAACAGAAAAUAAACGUGUAAACCAAAGUAAUUUUAAGAACAAAAGAAAAAUUUCCAAUGAAAUAUUACUAUUAUGAUAUCUCUGCUACUAUAUAAUUCACUAACCCAAAAUAAAAUAAAAUCUUAACUAAAAGUUUUUGCAAAAAAUAUUGUUUUUACAUUACCUUCCAUACAUCUUAUUUUCAAAUAUUAUGAUAACUGAUAAAUUUAUGAUAUAUAUACUAUUAUAUAAUUCACUAACACAAAAAAAUUAAUACAAACUUUUAUCAAAACCAUAUGAUAAUACUUAUAACUCGCAUAUUGUGCGGUUCACAACAUUAGCUAUUGUAUCAUAAAUAACAAUUAUACACUUUUCUAUGCACAUUAUAAUUUAUAUAUUACAAUAUCUUUCACUAAAAAAUUAUUCCAAUACAUUUCUUAAAAUACGAAACCCCGCACGUACGUGCGGGUCAGAAUCUAGUAUUAUUUGAAUCAGCAAUAUCAACUUAAUACAUGUACAAUUUAUUUAUGCCAAAAAAAAAAACAAAAUUAUUUUGUACAAUUGCAAAUUUAAAACGAAAAAUAUGGAUUGAGAUAAUUUGGGUUUCAAUUUUUUAUUACGUAAUUAAAUUUUUAAUGAAAAUAUUAAAGCAUAUAUUGUAAUAUAAGAUUUGAUUCAUUUUAUUAACUGAAAAUAAAUGAUUUAAAACAAAAAAUCAGGGUGAUUAAUGCUAAUUGGAAAGAUUUAAAUGUUUUUGUGAUUUUUUUUUUAGUUUCCUAAACUUUAGUAACAUAAUAGAUUUUAUAUUUAGAUUUAAAAAUAAGUUUAGUAAAACAAUAAAUGUCGAUGGCAUGCCAUUAUAAAUCAGUGUCAGGAUUUAUUUAUUAAAGUGGCUGCAAAAAUGUAUAUGUAGAUGACGCUAAAUAUAAAUAUAUUCAGAAAAUACAGAAAAUGAAUACAAUUUAAAAUAUAUCUCUAUAUAAUUCGAGUACUUACAGAUAGUUUCAAAACACAUGGAUUUUUGGGAUUUUACCCACAAGUUCUAAAAUCCAUUCGAGUUUUUUUAAAAUUUGAGAUUUUUAUGGGUGGGUUCAAUUUGGGUUAGGGCUGGACUGUUUUUUUUUACCACGACAACAUCCCUAGCUUCCGGAGAUGUCACUAAACUUCAUGUCCAAUUCUGGUGGAAACUUUAGUGAAAAUUGGUGGAAACUUGGGCUAAUGGGUACAAAGAAGAAAGUCUCAUGAAUCAAAUCAAGACUGUAUUGAAUAAAUUAUUUAUCCGAAACGGGUCUAGAUCAUAUUAUUUCACAUCUUACUGUAAUGAUUGACUUUAAAGAAUAUAGAUCAAAAACCUAUAGUAUCACACACAUAAUACUCCAAAAUCAUUUAAAAAUAAAACCAAAGGAAUGUUAUUUUUAUUUAUAGAAAUUCUAAUAAAUCACCAAAAAUUUAUAGAAUUCACAUAAAUCCCACCAAUCUAAAAUCCACAAAAUCUUUGAAUCACUCUUUCAAUACAAAGUGUGUAUUACACAUAACUUUUUCAACUUUACAUUCAAAAUAUACACCUAACUACUUUACCAAAAUCUUUAAAACACAAAUAUAUGACAUACAAUGAUACAAAUAUAACGGAUAAAUCUGCAUUAAAUUCUUUGCUUGGACUUUGGAUUUUUUUUCAUGCCCCAUCGAAUGAAUUCAAGAUACAGAUUUUUCCUUUUAACAACUGAACUCACUUAUUUAGAAGACGAUACAAUGUAAUGAUCAUUUAAAUCCAGAUUUAACUUUCAAUUGUCAAAUCCAUUACUAAAUAAAGAAAGGAAAACAAUCAUCUCACAUCUCUUCAAAGAGACCCCAAUCUCAUCCCUCCUCGCUGACAUAGAAAAGCUAUUGUUCUUGUAAAGAGACAUAACAUCAGUAUUAACUGGUCUUCCCCACCCAAAAUCCGCCCCAUAUAUCCCAAACUGGUUCGACCCGGUAACAGUCAAUACUUUUGUACCAACCUUCAUGUUUUUAGUUCCUUCCUCGUACACCUCCCAAACUGACUCAAGACUUCGUGAACCCAAACCUUUGACCGAAUCACUUAAAAUCUCAACACCGUUGACGAAUCCAUCUUCUCCCAAAAAGGUCGUCGCUUCAUAUCCAUUAAAAUCAAUUGGUAAAACACAAUUCCCAAAAUAUGUUAAAGGAACCGGUGGAUCUAACCGGUUUCUAAAAUCAGCAGCAUAAAUAAACCGAAUCGGUCUAUCCACACUGCCCCAUGCGCCUUAAUCACACAAGUCAACACAUAAGUGUACGUGACGAAUGAUCAUUUCUUGUGUCCUUUUUUGGGACAACUAAUCUGCAAAACCACUUUAGAGUCUUCAUAUCCCCUUUGAGUUAAUGAUUUGUGUUAAGACGAAUUUAUCCCUGUAAUUUAUUUUGAAUGAAUAAUUAGAAUAAUUAAUAGAAAACAUUUUGAAAAAAAAAAAAACGGAAAAAGAAAAAAAAAAAGCUCGAGCACGAGCUCGACUUCUUCUUCGGGAUUCUUCCUCCGGCGAGCUCCGGCAAGCUCCGGCGAGCCGCAUUGUCGUUUUUCUCCUCCUGCAAGCUGCAUCAAUCUACUAAGUCCAGGUAUGAAGAGAGCUUCAAAAGCUUUGAAUUACAUAUUUUGAGGAUUUUGAGAUUCAAUCCAAUUAGAUUUGGGUUAUUGUGUUUUAGCACCUAUAUUAGAAGUUUAAGUAUAGAUUUAGGCUUCAUUUGGUCUGUUAAUGGGUAAGCAAUUGAUUUCACAUGCUGAUUCAUACUAAAUUGAACUCAAAUCGAAUAUUUGUUCUUGUCGCGAAAAUAAUACUGGUCGAACUAGCUAUAGUAGUACCGUAAUUUAUAUAGAUAGUAUGUUUUAAUAGCACCAAUAUUACUUAAACACGUAGUAUUUCAUAUAUGUAAUAGUAUUACUCACACAUGUAAUAUUUCAGAAUUAGUACUAGUAUUACUGUAAAUGUACUAGAAUCGGUAAUACUAGUAAUAUUGACUGAGUAUGUGUAUUGUUUUGGCAGGUUACAAUGAAAGAGAACAUGAUCAUAUAUUUUAAAUUCCAAGGUCGCAUGUAUAAUGUGAUGAUGAAGAGAUUAAGGGAGAAGAUUACUCUCUCAGUGUUAGAAGAUAGGAUAAUGACGAAGCUUGGAUUAGAUGCAAAUAAGGUAAAAUUGCAUAUGAGGUACAAUCCACGGUUGUUCGGAGUAGAGGAAGAAAUGAACGUUUGUGAUGAUGAGGAUGUCUUUGUUUAUGUAACAUCCGCAAAAAAUAAUCGGAGAAGUGUUUUGGUUGUGGAGGAGAUCUCUAAACCGCCCGAGCCGGGGCAAUUGCCCGAGCAAUUGUCUAGAGUUGGUAAAAGUUCUGUUGGUAAGAACUAUACGGAGUUGAAUUCAGAGGAGGAUGAAAUGAGAGUGGAUGAUGGUGCACUCAUCGUCUUAUUAGAAGAGGAACAAGGAACUCAACAUCAACUUGAGGCAAUAGUGGAGGAUCACGGGACUCAAUAUUAACUUGAGGCAAUAGUGGAGGAUCACGGAACUCAACAUCAACUUGAGGCAAUAGUGGAGGAUCACGGGACUCAAGAAGAUGAAACACGCUAUGAUGAGUCUAUGGAUAAUUCUGAUAGGGGGGAACAGUAUGUUGAGUCGCCACCUGCUGUAGAACCGGGUAUGUUUAAAAAAGAAUGGGAAGACGGAAUUGGGUUGACCUUACGUCAAGAAUUUCCAAACAAGGCGGCAUUGCACGAGGUGGUGGAUUGAGCUGCAUUUGCUAACAGUUUUGGUUAUGUGAUUAAGAAGUCGGAUAAGGAGCGCUAUGUCCUAAAGUGUGCCAAAGAGAGCUGUUCUUGGCGUUUACGAGCGUCCAAUAUCAGUAAUACUGAUAUAUUCUCGAUUAGAAGGUACAAUAAGAUGCAUAGUUGCACUCGGCUAAGUAAAGGUAGUAGUAGGCUCAGGAAAAAAAACGCAACCCACAAUUAGUCGCAGCUCUCCUUCAUGAUCAUUUUCCGGGAUAGUUGGAAACUCCGGUUCCAAGAAUUAUCAUGGAGCUAGUUCAGACGAAGUUAGGUGUGAAAGUAUCAUACUCGACAGCGCUAAGGGGGAAAUAUCAUGCGAUUUAUGAUUUAAAAGGUACCCCGGAAGAAAGCUACAAGGAUAUCAAUUGUUAUUUAUACAUGUUGAAGAAGGUAAAUGAUGGUACAGUUACUUAUCUGAAAUUGGAUGAGAAUGAUAAAUUUCAGUACGUAUUUGUAGCUUUGGGAGCUAGCAUUGAAGGUUUUAGAGUGAUGAGGAAAGUUUUAAUUGUGGACGUAUUCGUAGCUUUGGGAGCUAGCAUUGAAGGUUUUAGAGUGAUGAGGAAAGUUUUAAUUGUGGAUGCAACACAUUUGAAGAACGGAUAUGGCGGAGUGCUAGUGUUUGCCUCGGCUCAAGAUCCUAACCGUCACCAUUACAUCAUAACGUUUGCCGUACUCGACAGUGAGAAUGAUGCUAGUUGGGAGUGGUUUUUCGAGAAGCUAAAAACGGUUGUACCCGAUACUUAAGAAUUGGUUUUCAUGACGGAUAGAAAUGCAAGCCUCAUAAAGGCCAUACGGAACGUGUAUACCGCGGCUCAUCACGGGUAUUGUAUUUGGCAUUUGUCCCAAAAUGUGAAAGGUCAUGUUACUCACACCAACCGAGACGUACUCGCAUGGAAGUUUCAGGAGUUAAGUCGGGUCUACGUCGUGGCGGACUUCAACCGAGCGUAUGACGGGUUUAAGUUGAGAUAUCCUAAGGCGACCAAGUAUUUGGAGGAUACAACCGUGAAAGAAAAAUGGACAAGGUGUUGUUUUCCCGGAGAAAGAUACAACUUAGACACAAGCAAUUGUGUGGAAUCUUUGAACAAUGUGUUUAAAAACGCAAGGAAAUACUCGUUAAUACCAAUGCUUGAUGCGAUCAUCAAAAAAAUCUCCGUUUGGUUUAAUGAACAUCGGAUGGAAGCCGCGUCUGGAUCUUUAGAAAAUAAGAUGGUGCCUUUGGUCGAGAAUUAUUUGCAUGAUUUGUGGGUUUUUGCCGAGAAUAUGUAGUCACAUGCGACAAAGGAAUAGAUUAUACGGUGAGCUUGCUUUUGAAAACUUGCAGUUGCAAGGUUUUCGAUAUCCAAAAAUAUCCUUGUAUUCAUGCAUUAGCCGCUUUCAUUAACAUUAUGGAUGAUGAAGAUCGGAGAAGAGGUUUGGAGUUACAUGAUUUGGUUACAAAAUAUUAUUGGGCGGAGUUGUGGGUAUUGGCCUAUUAUAGGACUAUUUAUCUUGUUCCGGAUAGGUCGCAGUGGGAAAUACCAGAUGAAGUAAAGGCGUUGAAGAUAGUUCCGCUGUCUAAAAAACCGAAGAAAGGAAGGAAAAAUAUGCUAAGGUUUCCAUCAACCGGGGAAAAGCAGCCAAAACGACAAAGGACGCAAAACAAAAGGCGUCCAAGGCAAUCGUGUCAAUGAUUAUUAUUUGGGAAUACGCCUAUCUGAGUUUUUUACUUUGUUUCUGCAGUGAUUUGUUGUUUUUAUGGUAUGGACUUACUAUGUAAUACUGUAUUUCCCCUUUCUGUAAUACUAUGUCUGUUUCUAUUGUUUUUUUGUAAUAUUGGUUAUAACAAGUAAUAUCAUGUCUGUUUCUGUCGAAUUUGUGGUCAUAUUAGUACUACUGGUAAUACUAAGUUGGUGUUAUGGAGUUCGAAUUUGUUUACCUCAAAACUCAAUGAAAAUGAAUACAGUGAGUUAUAAACAGAUAAAAAUGUAUUAUUAAUCAUUUAUACUUAAUUAAGUUAGAAAUUUUAAUAUUAAAUCGUUUUAACUUAUUUUUAGUAGACUCAAUACAACAUAUCCCUUAUACUUUUAAGCUCACUUUUAAUAUUAUCACCAACUUAAAAUGAAAAAUUCACAUUGCUACAUAUAUUUAAUUUAUAAUUGCACAAAAUAUUUAAACCUCUAUAUUUAUAAAGUUCAAUCUAGUGUACUACUAAAUAAACAAAUUGUAAAUAUAGGAAAUACUGCUAAACAUGAAAAACAUGGAAAGUAAUACUAUUUGAGAAAUUGGCACUACCAAAACCUUAGAAAAUACUAUGCUGUAAAAAGGCUGCGCACAUGUCAAAAAUCUCCAAAAAACGGCGCACACGUGGGGAAUUAAUUUUUUUGGUUUUCCCCCAAAAUUUUUGGCGCCUAACAAAUUUUGAGAUUCCCUCCAAAACCAAAAAUUUCACUUUUUUCUUUUUCCUCUUUCUUUUUCGAUCUUUUCUUACAACUUUCUUUCAUCUCUCAUCUCUCUUCUCCCACAUCUCUCAUCUCUCUCUUCGACUCGAAUUCUCUCACAUCUCUCAUCUUUCUUUCAUCUUUCUACCAUGGAUAGACUGUGUGAGAGAGACCCCUACUACGAUGAUAUGAAAGUGGCGAAGAGAGCCAUUGAGCAAAUGGAAAUGGUUGCGAUGAUGGAAGGGAUUCCUAAGUUUUGUCCAUGCGGUGGUAGCAUUGUCGACACUCGAAAGGAUGAAAAGAGAUACUAUCAAUGCGAGAAGUUUAAGGUAUGUUGAUGUAGAGCACAAGUUUUUCAAGUUUGUGUAGAUCUAGAUCUAGAUAUAUUUGGUAUUUCAGAGUAUUUCCCGUUAUGGUAAUACUGCCUAGAACAAGUAAUACUGCACAAGUUUUUCUAGGUUUUGUAGAUCUAGAUCUAUAUUUGAUAAAUAUUUGGUACUUUGUAGGAUGAUAGAACUGAUUGUAUGCACAUCCGUAAACUUUGGGAUAAGGCUAUGGAAGAAGAGGUGAGUAGCUUAAGGGAGAGUGUUGAUUACAAUCGGAAGAAAGUUCUAAGUCAUGAGUAUCUCAUAGAAGAAAUGCAAAAAGAAUUGAAAGCCCACCGUGCAGAGAUUGUGAACGUGAGCAAAGUGUUAUUCCGUAAUCCUAUGGCUCCAAAGAAGUAAUGUGUUAUCCUAUUGUUCCUUAAUCUUAUUGUUAAUUUGCUUGUAAGACUUUCCCUAUGCUUUGUAAGACUUUCUGUAUGCUUUGUAAGACUUUCCCUUCGAUUGUAAGACUUCUCUUUGAUUGGUAAUACUAUGGUUGUUCAGUUUGAUAUUUCCAGUAUAUCUCUUAGUAGUAAUAGCACGAGGUAUUUCCCGUAUUUCAGUUAACAAUAUCAUAAAACAUCCUAAUACAUUAAUUGAAUACAAACAUAGUUUUACGAGUACUUGCGAAAUCCUAAAACAAAGUCAAAGUACAAGAAAUCAAAAUACAAAUCCGGAGAAGUUACACGAAUAGUUUUCACACGUUACUAGACUUUGCACGGGUUGAACGGGUCACUCGUUUGGGCACAACAGGAGCAGCCGCAUUUUCCUUAAUUGUUGAUUCCUCCUCAUCUGGUGGGUUCUGAGACAUCUACAUUGUUAAUUUAGUUAAACCUUGGUAUUACGCGAUAUUACCAAUUAUGGAACAGUAUAUCCGGUAUUACCCAGAUUUACCUUGGCUUUCAUCUCAUCCAUAAAUGCUUCGAACGUUGCUUGUUUUUCCUCUAUUUCCAUAAGCACCAACAAAGCUUCAUUCAGCUUAUCAUUGAUGGAAUGGAGCUUCUCCAUUACAUCAACUAACGUCGGGUCUCCCGGUCCAACAGCUGUGGGAACUUCCUCUUCAUUUGGGGCUUCCAUUCGUGCCUGCACAUCCUCGUUGUACACCUCCUCAAAUCUAAUUUCACGCCCUUGACCAAGACGCUUCAUCCAACUAUCAACUACAACAUCGUGCUUAUCAACAUCAUCCUCUACUCCCGUGAUUUCAGCCAAAAGAGGUACUUCUUCAGCCUUCUCUCUAAUUAUACUCUCAAUGACCUAUGGAAAUAAUAGACAAUGAAAUAUUAGAAAGAAAUAAAAUCAUAUUUGCUCAAGGAAUAAUAGGAAAUACUAACCUCAGUUGUUCCGAGUACAUGGUUGAUUUGCUCAAGGGUAAAUCCUUUCAUCUCGAUCCUCUUGAAAUUCACCUUGCACAUCCUUUGACAACCGGCAUGUGCACCCUCUUUUUCUUCUAUGAAUCUUUCCCUAAGUGAUGGAAUGGCUUCAAAUGCUAAAAACUACACAAACCACAUGAAAUUUAAUUGUUAGCUUCAAUUACGAAAAUGUAACAAGGAUAAAACAUGUGACUUACCUCAAGCGGCACACAGAAUCCGGGAACAGGCCAUGGUGACUGAGUGUUCGGGACGACACCGUUAAAAUGAUCCAAUUUGUGUGAGAUCGAUUUUAACAUGUACUCAAAUGAAUAUCUCCCCGAUGGAAAUAUCUUACAAAACGUAAGAUCACUUGCAGACCUCACACAGAAAUCAUCAAUUGGACUAGCCCUUUCUCCGGUCUUAGUAGGCAUGACAAUGAUGCUAGUUAGAAAAUAGAGGGCCGCCAUCCGCAACCUAUCCUUUGAUCUAGCCGGUUCCAUCUCCAUUAGCUUGGUUUUCACGUCUUCACGUCUAAUUACCCCGGUUUUGAAGUACCUGUUGGCGAAGUUCAUAUUACCAGCACUCUGAUAACUAGCUGGAUAGGCCUUGCAGUUGAAACCAGAGAUCAAAGCAUGCUCCCUAAUACCAUAGCGGAUGGGAACUCCAUUAACAACGAACCAAACCUCCUUCUUCUUCUCAAUAGAUGCCGUUCGAAGAAAAAGCAUCCACAUCCGCAUUAACUUGUGGGUAUAUCCGGAAGGCAGGUGGUAGAUGUGCUUGAAACUCGGAUGCUCCAUAAAAUAAUUCUUCUCAACAUGCGUUAGAGGAUGUUCCAAGUCAGCGAAGGUCUUCAACACCUCCGAGAUAUAACACCUCGUUGCUAACUUCAUCUUCUUGGGAUACUCCGACACCGGGAAGUACAUACCAAGUGGCUGCAUUGCCAUCGCUUCCUCCAUAUCCUGAAAGAAACAAACAUUCAUUCAUAUAUCACUCAAUUGUAAAUAGUACUGCCACAGUAUUACUCUGUAUUUCCAAAAGUAUUCCCCGAAAUUACCAGUAUUACACAAAUCCUACUAUUCAUAUAUCACUCAAUUGUAAAUAGUACUGCCACAGUAUUACUCUGAAUUUCUCAGAAGUAUUCCCCGUAAUUACCAGUAUUACACAGAUACUCCUAUUUUACUAUGUAGUAUUUCUCAAAGUUACUAGUACUAACUAUCGAUAAAUCACAAUUGUAGUAUUACUCUAAGGUAUUACCCACAUCCGCCAAUAUUACCUAAAUAUCAACAUAGCAUUUCCCAAUGUUACUAGUACUGUCCACAGUUCACAAUUGCAUUAUUACCCAAUUAGAUCGGUAUUACGAAAUGGAAUACUUACCACAUUUGCGAUGUCCUCGUCUAUGGUCCUCUCCUCCCCGGAUUUUUCCACUAUCACGUCCUCGUCUCUCUCGUCCUCGUGUCCCUCAUCCUCCACGGACUUUUCCACAUUGACGUCCUCGUCGCUCUCAGAGCUCCUCUCCUCCUCCUCCUCGAUAACGGUUAGGCCGUCAUCUUGUCUCUCCGCCUCUUCCACGGGAUUAGCACACGCGAGUUCUUUGUUUGUCUCCGUCUCCUCUGAAUCGGAAUCGGAGCCCAAGGUUCGGCUACUACUCCCUGAUUCUUCUUCUUCACUUGCUUCUUCUUUUCAUUUUCAUCUUCCACCUCAUCAGUUUGCAUAUUCUCUUGAAUUUCUUCAGCAGGAAUAUGCUUCAGAGCAUCAUAAAACGUAGAAUCAUCAAGCAUCGGGCUCUCCGUCGUUGGAGCCGUCGUUGGAGCCGUUGUCGUUGGAGCCGCUGUCGUUGGAGCCGCAUUGGUUGCCAUCGCCGUCGCAGUCGUUUGUGUUGGCGACUGCUCCUCAGCCGGCACUUUCUCUUUAUCUUUCUUCGCCGGCGCCUGAACCUUCGCUUUCUUCGCCGGCGCCUGAACCUUCGCUUUCUUCGACGGCGCCUGAACCUUCGCUUUCUUCGCCGGCACCUUCUCCUUCACUUUCUCCGCCGGCGCCUUCCUUCACUUUCUCCGCCGGUGCCUUAACUUUCUCUGUCUUCGCCGGCGCCGACGCUUCUAUCUCAUUUCUUUUCCCUUGACCUCCUCCACGCGUCUUAGGCGGCAUGACUGAUUUCGAAUCGGAAAUAGAACGGAAAUACUGGUGAAAGGAAGAAGAACGAUCGAUUGAAUUUAAAGAAAUAGGGAAUGUUGCGGUUAAUUUCAGCGGUUACUAAGGAGAAGAAGAAGAAAAAUCAAAAACGGUUGUAAUGAGAAAAAGAAUGAAAUUCGAAUUGGGAAAUCCCUGGAAAUAUUAGAGUUUUUCUUAUUUGAUUUUCAAAUAAAGAGUAAAGGUGGUUCGGGUGGUUUGGUUCGGAAACGAACCAUGAUUUUUCUGGUAAUUAAUAGGUUCGGAUGGGGAUAUACUAGUAAUAUCCAUAUAUUUCGAAUUAAAAAAAAAAAAAAUUAUUUCUGUUUUUUACAAGGAUUUUUUGGCUUCCUCUUUGCAAAAAAGGGACUGGCCAGAUGAUUUUUCGUACGUGACUACAAACGUUGAUAGAAGAAGAUCGGACCAAGUUGACUCGUUCUUGGCUUGUUCUUUAAGUUUCUUGAUGUUCGCUUCACUCAACUCGAGCGUGACCCGAACCACGUUGAUGUUCUCUUUAGCGGGAGGCAGCAUUAAAUUUCUUGCAUUGACUUUCUCCUUUGAGAGAUAUGGCAAGAGUUGAAAGAGUUUUGGUUCGAGUCCGGCCGGAACAUUGAUGACCGUACGAUCUAAAACCAUAGGUAGAUCAAAAUCUUGUGGUAUGUUCCCGUGUUUACAUAUAUGAGCCCAAGCUUUGUAAAACUUGGACGCUGUUUUGCCGUCCAUGACGACAUGGUGAACUAUGGUUCCAAUGGAAAAGCCUUGGUUUGGGAAAAAAGUGAUUUGUAUAGACAGAAUCGAUGCUGAGUCAGAGGAAACUUGUAACUCGGGGACAAGAGGACGUAAUUCAGCCUCCAGACGAAGUUCUUUGCUAGAGAUAUAAGAGAAGUCAGCUUCGGACUCGACCACUGUGAGAGAGACAGUGUCUUUGGGGAAGAUGACUAUGUGUGGUUUAGGAUCUUGGGGGUUCCAUUUGAGGUAACCGGAUAGUGGGAGAAAGUGUGAGAGGAAGAGGGAGAGGGAUUAUUCGAGCUUGGGUUGGAUCGAGGAGAAGAAGGAGUCACGAGAUGACUCGGUGAGUUUGUAGAAGGUGACUCUCUCUGUGGGAUAAAGUUUUAGCCAAAGUAAAUCAAAGAAAGUGAGUGGAAGAACGAGUAGUUCGACUGAGUUAGUUGCAGGGCUCACUCGAGCGAUCUAGAUCACGUUUAAGGCCAUCGUUGACGGAGACAAUCUAUCUUGGGCAGUCUUCGAACAGACGAGUGUUUGGUGUGUGCCAAAGUAAAACUUUAUUCACCAAUUAUCAAAAGCAUAUGAAAGAUGCUCAGGGUAGGUAAAGCCCACUACAGGAAAAUUGAGUAUUCUUAGCGGUCGAAUAAGCUAUCUAACGAGAUGAUAGCGGAGUAGAAAGCGCUAUAUCUUCGUCCAUGAUAAUAGGUCGAUGACUUCUAAUAGCAGUUUUAAGUAGUGCUAUAUUUUGAUUAUAUAUUAUAGCGUGUUCUUUUUGCAAUUUAAUAUUAUUUAAUAAUGAUUAUAUUUUGUUAUUAAUUAUUAAAUAACAGUAUUUAAUAUAUGCAAUUUAAUAAAUUGGAAUAACAUUUAUAAUAUGCAAUUUAUUCAAUUAAAAUAGCAUUUAUAUAUAUGCAAUUUAUUCCACUAAAAUAGCUUUUGUAUUAUCAUUAUUUCGGUUUGUUAUAUUUGUAAUUAUAUAUUAUUUUAAUUUAUGAGGUUUUUUGGAUAAAUUGAGUAUUGACAUAUAAAUAUAUUAUAUUUUAUUACAUUAUAUGAAAUCAUAACACAAAAACAAUAUAUUACAAAGUAUAUACAAAUUUUUUUUAAAAAAAAGUAAAAGUACAUAUAUUAGUAGAAACUCUUAUAUGAACUAGAUGAGUACCCGCACUACGUGCGGGCUUAUGUAGUUUACGACUCUUAAAGUUAUUUUUAUUCAAUAUUAAAUUAUCUAUUCCUAUAAAAUUGAGAGACUACCACAUAAACCUUGUGUAGAAAUGUAACACAUCAACAAGGUUAACAUAAACCUUGUGUAGAAAUGUAACACAUCAACAAGAUUAGCAUCUGUUCUUUUGAUGCUUCCGGCCUUUGACAUCUUUGUCCGUUGUUUUAUUUUUAACCUAUCCAAUUCGUGUUAUAAAUCCAGUGUUUUGUGUAAUUUGAAAUUUAGAUGUUUAGGCAAAUAGAAUACCUUGAAGAGCAAGCCUUCCCACCGUUAUAUUCUCCUUUGCCGCAUCACCAUCGUCAGGAUUGUCACCAUUGCUCUCGUCCUUGGUCAUGAUAUAUUAAUAAUUAAUCAAUAGAUAAAUAUACCUCAGUUUCUUCUCCUCCAUCUACAUGUAGCACAUGUUAAUGAUUGUAGUUGAUUUUGUUCUUGCAAUCUGAAAAAAGAAAACAUAUGAAUAUAUGAUGUUAGUUUACUCUUACAAUCCCAAGAAAUAAUUUAAAAGAGAUUGAAAAGUAAGACAUGCAUGUAUUUAUAAUUUUAUAUGGGAGCUAAUUAAAUAUUUACGUUAUGUAACAUAUAAGUGGAUAUGAUUAGAAGUUUAAAAGUUAUUAAAAAUUAAAAUGAAAUUAAUACCAAUAAGUUGUAUACAUCAUGCUCUUGGGGAAGUUUGGAUAAGAAUAGUUGGGUAUUUGAAACGUCCAAAUAUUAUUCAUGAAUCAUGAAUAGUUGAGUACUUCGUAAAUGCAUAAUCGUGGAUAUGAGAUUUUAUGUAGAUUAAAUCCUGGCUUUACUUAGAGCUGAUUAAUUAUUUAUUUGUUUAUUUUAAUAGGUACACGUGGCGAGCUAUUAGAUGCUGACGUGUCAAGCAGAUGGAGAAAGAUAGCCUCCUUUCAUAUAUAUGAUUCAUCUUGUAAACCUCACUGUAAACAUGACACCAAUUUUCGCUGCAUCCAACACACACAAAGCCUUUAUCCUGCAAACACCAAAUUCUCAUUAACACUGAUAAUAGGUUUUUAAGAUCAAUUAAUCCUAAAGCACUAUCAUGUUGUUGUAGUACUGAAGGUUGUCAAUUCAAAUGGGUAUGAUGCUAACAAUCAAGAUGUGAUCAGAAGUCACUAAGUCAAGCCAAGCAAUAACAGGUUUUGGUGUGUUCUAGCAGUCCUAAGUGAACAUGCAGAAAACAGAAAAUCAAAUAGAAACAGUAAAACACUCGACCAACACAGCUCUUUGCAGAGCACUGGGUGAGGUCGAGUAACAGACAGAAAGUAUAACACAGAUACUCGACUGCACAGUCUGUUGCCAGACAACUGGGUGGUCGAGUAUGAGGUCGAGUAACAAGAAAGAAUUGUAGAAAUUAAGCAACAAAUGACAAGAUGCAGUAAACAACAGUAAAGUAAACAAAGAAUUCAAUCAGAUAAAGAAUUCCCGAGGAUGGGGUAAUUGAGUAGUUUCGUUUCCUCAGUUUACAAGUGAUUGUCAUGCUCAAUAAAUUGUCCCUAGACAACAAGUUCAUUAACCAAAUCUAAGUGCCACCGCAACAGAGACCCUCAAGUUAACCUAGUCCCAGACUCAAUCACCAUUGACGAGAGCUAACCUAACAUGCAUUACGAAUCAACAAGUUAAAGCCAAAACGCUCUCUGCAUCCAAUACCUUGGUACAUGGCCACGAAUCUCUGGAAUUAGUGGUUCAGACAUUUCAUCGAACACCUUUUGGGCGCGGAGAUGUCUGGGCUCAAAUUCCAGUUGAUCAGAAAGCAAUAAGCAUUAAGAACAACUAAUCCAGAAGGGAUCUAUCAAUCAAUACUCAACCACCUAGCAUACUAAGAAUUCUACACUUACUCUAACCCAUCCUCAGAAACCUAUUCACUACUCAGACAUCAUAGCAGAAAGCAUAAACGUUGAACAAGUUGAAAACAUGAUAACAACAGUGUAACAACAGGAUGAUAACAGAAUGAACAACAGUAAACUAAAAUCAAGAACAAAUACUGAAUACUUAAUAGAUAAAGAGAAAUCCGGAUUACAAAAGGUCUAGAACACAGUGUCUGCAGAAUAAAACUAGAUAAAAACUUGUUUGCGAAAAUGUGAAGUACAUGCUACUUAUAGCCAAAUAUUCUGAAACCCUAAUACUUAAAACGACGCAGUAUUGGGACGGAUUAAGAACUGUACUCGACCCAUGUGGUCGAGUGGGAGGUCGAGUGAAUAGCUGGAGUCUUCUUUUCUUCCUUGUUCUCGAGUGUUUGGUUGAGUACGGAAUGAAGAAGACUCUGAAGCUUGCCAGCGAGUGUGUAGUCGAAUGGUGGUGAUGGUGAUACUCGACUUCCUGGUAGAGUGAUGUGGUCGAGUGAUGAUCAGGUAAUGGAGGUGAAGACACUCGACCUCGGGGUCGAGUGAUGUGAUCGAGUGGUGGUAAGGUGAUGGAGAUGAAGACACUCGACCUCGUGGUCGAGUGGUGAGGUGAAGUGGUGAUGUCCUCUACUCGACCAGGGGGUCGAGUGGUCUGCUGAGGUUGUGAAUCGUCUACUCGACCUAGGGGUCGAGUGGUUUUGCAUGAUCAGGUCCGCUUCUUCCAAUUAGCUCGUCAACAACUCCGAAUCACCUGAAAACAACACAAAUAUGCAACAUGCAUGCAAAACUAUCCUAAACAUGCAAAGUGAUGACAAAUGAUGAGAAAUGAUAUAAAAUAGUGAUGAUAUGAUGCUAAAGUGAUGACAAAUGGAUGCUCAAAACAUGCAAAAUACACACUUAUCAAACACCUCACAUCAAUUUCUUAAAGUACCAAUUCUACUUAAUCUAGACAUUUGCGCCAAUUCAAAUUACAGAAAUAUAUAAUUCUCAGAUCCCACUAGGCACUAGUUAUGGCCUCAGACAAAUCCAAGUAACAUAAUGUUGUAAAUCUUUGUUUUCAUAUUUCUCAUUGUCUUACACAACAUCACUACCACAUUUAAUUAACAAAAAAAAUUUAUAGAAGAAAAUAAGACAACAACUCUUUAACCACUACACAACCAUUCCCACUAGACUUACUUAACUCUUAAACUUAGUUUAGUCUUUACUUAAAAAAAUAAAAUACAAAUUGAUGCAAAAGAAAACCAAAGAAAACAGAUUGCUUGUCAAACAAGCAAAACAAAUUUUGAUGAAAAUAACUGAAGAGCUUGAGAGGAAGUUUUUUUUUUCUCACUUAAAGAUUUUCAUUAUAUAAUACAUCGGAGAAAUAUAUUUUUGGGAUGCGUUUUUGAAAUACAAAAGCCGGGGCAAAACAAAAAUAUCUCCGAAAGAUAAAGCCCGAUACACCGGAAACAGAAGGAAAUAUACUAAAGUCAAAAAGAAAAGCUCUCGAAAUCAUUAGAAAAGUCGGAGGAGAACAAUAACUGCGGGAUUAAGAGCUUAAAGGUCAAAGUCUAGAAAACCCACAAUCGCGGAAUUUAGAGCUCAAAGGUCUCGAACAUACCUAGCAAUCUCAAAUAUGAGUCUCCUUCUUAGAUUUGAGUAUAGCAUGUUGAUUUCGGAUGAGUAAGAUUCAAAGAAACUAGCUCAAUACACACAAUUGGACAAGCAAAAGCCACAAAUAAUCAUUCAAUUGUAAAUUUAGAAUCUUGACACCAUUGACAAACCCAUAUUCCCACAAAAAUGCCAUCGAAAAACAUUCAUCUCACAUUUCUUCAAACAUAUACUAAUCUCCACACCACCUAUUUCAUCCCUCCUCGCUGACAUAGAAAACUCACCGUUUUGGUAAAGAGACAUCAUUUAAGUGUUAACCGGUCUUCCCCACCCAAAAUCCAAUCCAUAUAACCAAUAUUGGUUUGACCCGGUAACAGUUAAUACUUGUGUACCCAACUUCAUGUGUUUAGUUCCUUCUUCGUACACUUCCCACAAUGACUCAACACGUCGUGAACCCAAACUUUUGAUGGAAUCACUUAGAAUCUCCACGCCAUUCACAAACCCAUCUUCUCCCAAAAUGUAUGUCAAUUGGUAAGACACAAUUCCCAAAGUAUGUCAAAGGAACCGGAGGGUCUAAACGGUUUCUAAAAUCAGCAGCGUACAUAAACCGAAUUGGUCUAUCUACAUUGCCUCCACGCGCCUUAACCACACAAGUCAACACAUAAGCAUACUUGACUACAAACGUUGACAAGUAAAGAUCAGACCGAGUUGACUCAUUCUUGGUUCGUUCUUUAAGUUUCUUGAUAUUUUCUUGAGACAGCUGGAGCGUGACCCGGACAAGGUCGUCGUCAAUCUCUUUAGCGGAAGGAGACUUUAAGGUUCUUGUGUCGUUGUCUACGUCUCCUGAUAGAUACGACAGGAGUUGCAAGAUCUUAAAUUCGAGUCCGACAGAAACAUUGAUCACCGUACGAUCCGAAUGUGUAGGUAAAACAAAACCUUGUGGUAUGGUUCCGUAUUUACAUAUAUGAGCCCAAGAUUUGUGAAAAUUUGUUGAGGUUUUGCCGUCCAUGAUGACAUGAUGGGUUGUGAGCCCAAGAGAGAAGCCUUGGUUUGGGAAGAGAGUGAUUUGUAGAGCAAGAAUAGAUGAAGAGUUAGAGGAAGUUUCUAACGUAGGGAUAAGAGAACGUAACUUGCUCUCGAGACGAGGCUCUUUGCCGGAGAGUCUUGAGAAGUCAGCGUCGGACUCAACCACAGUGAAGAGACAGUGUCUUGUGGGAAGAUGAUGACAUGUGGCUUAGGAUCUUGUGGAUCCCAUUUGAUGUGACCAGAGAGUGGGAGGAAGUUAGUGAGGGCAAGGGAGAGAGAUUGCUCGAGCUUUGGGAGGAUUGUGGAGAAGAAAGAGUCGUGAGAUGAUGACUCAGAGAGUUUGUAAAAGGUGACUCGCUCGAUGGGAUGGUGUUUUAGCCAAAGUAAAUCGAAGAAAGUGAGUGGGAGGAAGAGCGGGGUGACUGAGUUAGUUGCAUGGCUGACUCGGGAGAUCUUGAUCAUGUUAAGAGCCAUCGUUGAUGGAGACAAUUUCACUUGGACUCAAUUUCAGGUAUUUGUUUCAAAACAAAAUUUCACCUUAGCCUUCUAUCUCAGUUUUUCUUUUAGAAAGUGGCAAAGUGGGCUGGGCCAAUCAGGUUUUAGCCAUUUGGGCUUAAGUGGACGAAUAUACCCUCCAAUAAGAAAUGAAACGAGGCGGUUUUCUUUGUUUUUCUGUUUAUGAAAAUAAUAUUUAAACUUUAAAAUAAAUCAAAAACAAGUUAAUAAUUUUAAAACUACCAAAAAAAAAUAAAAGAAAAUCAAAAACUCUUUUCGAAGACGCAGAACAAUUCUGACGAAACUUAAACCCAUAUUGAAAGUGAAAUUUCGAUUGAGGCUCUCUUCGAGUUCAAGUCGUUGCUUAAGUGGAGGAAAUUUUGAUCGAGUUCGUGUUAAAGUGUCUAACAAUAAGAGGAUUUUUGGGUUUCUCAAUUCACUGUUUAUAGAAGAACUCAAAUGGCAGAGAUGAAGAAGAGUAGUCGGCGACGAGGAGUUUCCGAAUUUAGUGUCGAAGACGCAAAAUCAAAAACUGUUUUGAAGACGCAGAACAAUUCCGACGAAACUUAAACCCAGAUCGAAAGUGAAAUUUCGAUUGAGGCUCUGUUCGAAUUCGAGUCGUUGCUUAAGUGGAGGAAAUUUUGAUCGAGUUCGUGUUAAAGUGUCUAACAAUAAGAGGAUUUUCGGGUUUCUCGAUUCACUUUUUAUAGAAGUACUCAAAUGGCGGAGAUGAAGUAGAUUAGUCGGCGGCGAGGAGUUUCCAAAGUUAAUGUCAUCGGCGGCGACGACAAAUAUGGGUAAGUUUGCCCUAACUUCGUUUGGGAAUGUUUUGAUACAAAAUUUAGGUUAAUUUUAGAGAUUUCAAAUCAGAAAAUUUCAAUUGACAAAGGGUUUUUAGUGUUUCCGCUAAAAACAGUAGAUUGAGUAUAAAAUUUACGGUGUACGUGUAUAUGAAUAUCAAGUUUAUGUUUAGUUUGUAUUUGGAUAUAGUGUACGUCUUAAGAACUUCAUCGUAUUUUUCAACUUUCAGGAAGUACUUCUAAGGAUCCUGGUGAAUUACCACAGAGGUUGUUUGCACUCGACCACUACCCAACCAAGGCUAAGAUAAAUGCGUACUCUAAACCGGAGUACCUUAGUCAUCUAGCAUAUGCGCUUAAGGGAAUACCAGAAAUAACGUUCCUUCUAGAGUCUCCAUUUAGGGACCUAUUUAGGAUCCCUGUUAACAAGCCAUCUUUUUCUGGUAAACUUGUUCUUGGGUUAAUAUGCCGUCAGUUAGUUACAAAGAAAUGAUAUGAGAUGUAGAUGGUAUUCGGUGAUCAUCCUAUUAAGUUAGGAUUAAGAUAAUGAGCACUUUUAACUGGUUUGGAAUGUGGAACCUAUCCUAAAAAUAUGACUUUGACUUGGUACAUAGAUGAAACUGCUAGAUCCUUUGUAGCUUGCGAUAUUAUGCUAGUAUCCUUUCCCUCAAUAUCCACAUGAACAAGUUCAAUAUGUUCAAAAUCCUCCAGAAAACUCUUUAAGUGUUUCAACUCUUCAGCAGUUCCGCAAUAAGCAAGAACAUGCAACACCCUCACUUGGUUCAGAGGCAUGGAGAAAUCACCUGUGUAACCAUUCAGAUCCUAAAAAAACAUUAAUCAAGAAGAUUGAUCAACCACACAAUUUGUAUAUAUAUAUUGAUUCAUAGAUUUUUCUUACUGAAUAUAUAUAUAUAUACCUUGAUGGUUAGAUUUUCAAGCUUUGGAGAAUGCUUAAGUACACAUUUGCGAGCAAUUACCAACCAUCUUCAUUCAUAAGACCUAAAGAUAACUUAAUUAGACUGUUGAACACAGUUAGACAAUCUUCAUAGAAGGAACAAAUCAAACAAAUCUUCUGAAAACAAAAACAAACUUUAAGACUGUCCCAAGAUUUCUCAAAACGAAACAAGGAAAAUUGCCGAGACGCAAAGAACUUACAUCGACCGAACCAGGAGACAAAUGAAGGAUCUCAACAUUAAUUUCUUAUCCCCAUAAUGAGUUUCAUUACAUCUGCAUCCGCAAUGCCUGGUGGAUCAAAAUCCAGCGUGUAGCAUGUCAGGAGUCCAUAUUAACUUGUGGAUACUGACACAAGGAGAAACUAGAAUAGUUGAGGUAUACAAGAUUUGGCAGGUCAAAUGAUAGGCUGCUAUUAAUAACACGACUUCGAUAAUAAACUGAUAGUCUCUUGAGAGACGGGCUCAAUAUGGUGUUGUUAGGUAUUGUUGGUUUGCCUCUGAUAAGGAGUGUGUUAAGGAAUAUUGUUAACACCUAAAGCACUCGGCAACCAACAAGAAGCGUGCAAAGCAAAUCAUCAUGUUUAUCGAUAAUCGUAUCUAUGUAGAGAAACUUAAGAGAUGGAAGUGACACAUAUGAAGGAAGGUUUCUAAGAGGGAGCCUUAGUGACAGCUUAACAAGUGUUUUGCUUGCAAAGAGCUGGUGAGGCAAACAUUAUGCAUCUCGAUCUUUUAUCCUUAGUUCAAUUUCCAAAACACCACGUUUUAUGACAUGAGAGAUCCAACUGCCCACAUAAGCCUUUUGCCUUUGAUUCUCCUUUGGAACCUUACAUUUUAGAGAGAAUUUCUUGAUCAGAAAGUCACAUUGCUAAGUCAGAGUUCAAUCCACAAAAUUCUUGAAGCUAUUAUUCAAGAAAGAAUCAUCAAAAUCGAGAGUAUCCACCAAGCUAAACAUAUACCUCCACUUUUUUGAGAGGACAAAUGUUGAAGCAGCUUGUUUUGUCUUUUUUUAUGUAUGAAUGUUAAAUUUAUUCACCAAAAAAGACUGUUUUACAAAAAAUGCAACAUCAAGCUGAACGUUUGAGAAGAAAAAUUAAAGACGAACAACUGAAAUAUAGUUAAUUCGGAUGAGUAUGGAACCAAUAUCGUAGCCCACCUUCGUAGGUAGGGGAGGCCAGCAAAGUACUAAGCUGGUUUCGAACAUUUUUAUCGACCAUUUUUGCUAGCGUGUUGGGUGGAGUUGGUGGUUCCCCGUGUUUCCUCCCAUUCCGUUCCCGCCAUACACUAUGGAUGGAUAACUGAAACACAUAUCGCAAGACAAAAAGAUGGACCUUUGGAAUUGGUAAAGUCGUAAGCAUGGAAAUCAGAGACUCCCAAUGAGUUGUGUAGUGUUGUCCAAGCAAGUGCCGGGUGAAGGCGGACCAAACCUGAGUCGAAUAUGAACAAGAGAAAAAGAGAUGGUCCCUUGUUUCGAUAUCCUCAUGACACAAGACACAAUUACCACUUACGGCAACAUUCCAAUUGAGCAUUCUGUCACCAGUCGCUAAGCGAUUACGAACUGCGAUCCAUGCUAUGAAAGAGUACUUAGGUGUAGAUUUGGGAAACCAUACACCUUUGUACCAUUCACAUAUUGUAUAUGUUGUCGUAUCGCAUGCCAAGUUUCUCUUCAGAUGAAAACAUUCUCGAAAGUGCCAUUGUUUCUUUUUCAAAGAAAAUUGUCCUUCCCAGAAUGAUGAGUAGGGCGUGAGUUUAGGACUCUAAUUCAUCCUCAAUCCGGUUGAGCAAAACAGACCUAUGACGACGACGGUGCGCUGAGAGGCCUUCUGCAACUGAGCAAGUAAAGGAGAUACCUAAAUCAAUGCAUCCACGAGGACCUAAAAGAUCCGUCAACCUACCAAGAGAACACCAAUAAUCAUACCAAAAGGAGGUAUCUGAACCGCUAUUUACCUCCAAUCUUUGUAAAGAUUUUGCCUUGUCUCGAUACUUUAGAAUUUUUCUCCACAUCCAAGAACCAAUACUUGUAGAUCCGUUUACCGGCCAUAAGGAUUUUGAUCGUAACAGAGUUGCUCUGACCCAGAGAGAAUCUUUGGUAGAGACGAGUCGCCAAAUAAGCUUCAGUAAAACAGUGUUCGUUUCAGAUAGCGACCUUAGCCCCAUCCCCCCCCCCUUGAGAGGAGACUUUCAAGUUCCUUUAUGCACUUACUAGGCAACCUGAAGACUGAGAGCCAGAAGCUUGUGAUGCUCGAUAGAACCGAAUUUAGCAGUUGUAAGCGACCCGCAAACGAUAAAAACCGAUCUGUCAAAGAAGCGAUUCUAGAUCGUAUUUUCUCAAGAAGUGGGAGAUAGUCGGAACGUGUCAUACUUUUUGUGAGAAGCGGGAGACCAAGAUACUUGACCGGAAGUGUUCCCGCAACAAAAGGAAAUUGGUGAAGCAGAUUAUCUAUACGCUGAGGUGAGCAACCUGCCAUAAACAACGUCGAUUUCUCUAAGCUGAUUUAUAGACCCGAAAAUCCUGGAAAGUUCCCAAAGACCUGUAGUAAUGCUGCUAUGGAUCGAGCACUACCAUCUGAAAAAACCAAACUGUCGUCCGCAAAACACAAAUGACUGCAUGAGUCCCAUGUUUUUAAACCAAGGAUGGUACCCAAUAUCAUUAUCCCUAGCCGCUUUGUCAAGCAUUUUAGACAGAACAUUCAUACAAAUGACGAUGAAAUAAGGUGAGAGGGAGCAGCCUUGUCUCAACCCUCAUUUGCUUUGGAAGUAACCUGCCAAUUCUUCCAUUGACUUGAACCGAAAAAGAUGCAGUACCAAUACAGAGUUCAAUCCAUCGAACAAAAACCAGCGGGAGAUAAUAACCUUUUAGAACCGUGAGAAGAAAAGGUCAUUGGACCGAGUCAAAAGCCUUUGAUAUAUCAAUCUUUAAUGCACACCUUGCGGAGAUUGAUUCCUUAUAUCAUAAGGAUACACUACAAGAAAACAGGUGAUUGACGACCUACAAGUCAGUCGUUUAGUAGUCGUAACUAAAGCUAAUACGACUAAUUUGCGACUAAUGACUGUAGUCAUUAAUCCAUAGUCGCUAAAAACACUAGUCGUUAAUUAGUCGUUGGUCAACGACAAUAAUACGACAACUGACUAAACAGUGAAAAAUCGUCGUUACGUAGUCGUACUAUGUCGGCGACUAAUUGACGACUAUCCUACGAUUAUUUGUACUGUACAGAGCGUGUGAGAACAUGUAGUCGUUUCGUAGUCGUUAAUUGUGUACGACGACAUUACGACGAUGUUGCGAUGAAAUAUUCUAAACCUUGGGUAUGUUUCCAAUUGUCGUAAAAUAGUCGUAAAUAUGUUUACGACUAUUCGACGACUCUUUGACGAUUAAAAGUACUUUACCAAGGAUUUGAAAGUUUUUGUCAUAACAUAGUCGUAUAAGUAUAUACGACUAUUGGACGUCUGUUUUACGAUUCUUUUAUGACUAAUUUGUUUAGUCUUAUGAUUGUCGUAAAGUUAUGUGACUAAUUGACGACUAUUCAGCGACUAUAGUGCUACUUAUUUACUACUUUUUUGCGACUAAUAGUUUGGUCCGAAUAAAGAUUUGGUCAUCAGGUGAUGGGUUUCUUGUUUGUUCUUGUUUAUUCAUCGAUUGUUCUUGUUUGUUAUUGAUAUGCUAUACAAUAUGAAAACACUGCUUAUAUAUUGAAAAUCAAGUUCAAAACAUAAAAUUAUCUUGUUCAAACAUACAACUUAUUGAAAGAUACAACUAGUGUUUGGAAACCUAAAUUCUAUGGAUCAUUAGAUGGGGGAGUAAUUGGGAUACGCUCUGUGGAUGUGGAAGAGUGUGUGGCAAUGAAGUCCAAGAACUGCGGAUCGGUUUGGCGGAGAUACUUCUCGACUAAGGACAAGUGCUCGAGCUUGUCCUUUUGCUUAGCUGUGACUCGGGCUGUCUCGGCUUCUCGGGCAGCAAUCUCAGCAUCUCGCUUUUCGUUAUAUGCAGCCUGUUCUUCAAUUUGCCGCUGAGCUUCCUGCAGCCGUUCUUCUAAGGCUUUAAAGGUUGAGUCUCCGGGGAGUUGGCGGUUGGCACUGCCUAGAGUUUCUUUAAGACAGCCAAGUUCAUAAGGAUUGCCUCUUGCAUCCUUUUCUGUGGACUGCAAGAAAUAAAGAGGAAGAUAAUUAGUGACAGAUCCUAAAUGUCUCUAAGACUCUGAAAAAGACAAAGAACAUCUUACCUCGAGAAAUAUGGCUGCAUACUCAUCUAGUGUGAGAUCCCGAGGACGUGAAGAGCCAUCAGACACAGAAGAAGCAGCCGCCUCUAGUUCAGACAACUCUCUCACAUUCUGCUCAUACGCCAGAGCAAUCUUCUCUGCCUUCUGAUCAACAUAAGUCCCAUCCGACUUAGUGUGUGUUUGGAUGAACACCUCACCAAGAGGGACAGGUCUUCCCAUUUUUUCUUCCUGCAAACACAGAUCACAAGCUUCAUUACUAUCAACAGACUAAACAUCACACACAGUUAAACGAACAUCACUAAAACACAUGGGAAGAUUGCAGAAACACUUACCAAUUCAUCUUGGAUUUCUUGGAAAGACUUUGGCCCAGAGUAGUGGACGUGAGGACCGAGACCGUUACGGUCAGAGAGACGAGCUUUGGAAUAUGUCUUACUCCUUUUUUGUGCCUCUUCAGUGUCCCAGUAGUCGCACAUGGUUCCCCACAGAGUUUCUCCAAUCCAUGGAGGCUGCUCUCGAGUUCUCCUUGCGGUGCUAACCAUGUCCUUCAAGCGCCUCUUAACGAUCUCAUUGAAGUAGUAUUGGACUGUCCCUGUUAUUAAGAGAUCCCAGUGGUGAGUUUUCUACAAAAAAAGUGUGAAGUUAGUGAACAAAUGACAGAUUAAAUAGUACAGUCUAAUGAAAGUUGGAGAAAUACAAGAAGCUUACCGCAAACUCUAAAAACAAUCUUUCUCUUUUAUCCAAUGGCACACAGGACCAAUUAUAGUAGGGAGCAUUGAACUUUUGAGUAAAAAUCCAUGUGAUCUUUCUAACCAAUUUAGAUCCUCUGUCGCGAGUAAACCUCCAAACACAUGCAACACAGACAGAAAGUAAACAUGUUUAAAAUCCAAAACACUACAACUACAGCAGACUAUAUAAUUGAACAAAGGCAGAUUCUACAAGAUUCUAGACAAGUAUAAGCCGACAAGAUCACACACAGAACACAAUAGUCAACAUAACAAGAUCAUAGACAGUAAAGAACAAGUAUAGACAAGUAUAGAACAAAGACAGAUCCUCAUUGUCAAAGCCGAAAACAUGCUAAGUUCAACAAUCAACAAAUGUUCCACAAUUAUGUUCAUGAUUCACAACAGAACACAAUAAAGAACUUAACAAGAUUAUAGACAAGUAUAGAACAAAGACAGAUCCUCAAUGUCAAAGCCGAAAACAUGCUAAGUUCAAUAAUCAACAAAUGUUCCACAAUUAUGUUCAUGAUUCACAACAGAACACAAUAAAGAACUUAACAAGAUUAUAGACAAGUAUAGAACAAAGACAGAUCCUCAAUGUCAAAGCCGAAAACAUGCUAAGUUCAACAAUCAACAAAUGUUCCACAAUUAUGUUCAUGAUUCACCACAGAACACAAUAAAUAACCUAACAAGAUUAUAGACAAAGUGAAGAACUUAACAAGAUUACACACGAGUUUAGAACAAAGGCAGAUUCUACUAUGUUACACAAACCCUAACAAACAUCCAAUUCCAACAAAGGCAGAUUCUACUAUGUUACACAAACCCUAACAAGCCAUUCUACAGACCAUAACACGAGUUACACUACACAGGCUAAGAACACUAGAAUAAAAUAGAGGAAGAGAACAUACCACUCGGUUUUAGGUUUGGGAAUUGGAGACAAGACACAACACCACUAGAUGGGGUAGAGAGUGUCGAUUGCAGAGCCAACGCCGAGUCUUCUUGUAGCUCCGACAACGUCCCAGGAACUUCCUCUUGGAAGUUGUUCCCUUGAGACGACGGGUGGCUGUUUGCUGGAGCGUCUGAAUCUCGCGACUGAGGAGGAGUUUGCUGAGGUGGCGCUGUUGGCGGCGGAGUGUAGUGGACCUCUUCAGAUAGAGGCGGAGGAGCUUGAUGUUGUGGUUGAGUCGUUGAGUUCUGGAAGAGUUGCAGAGGCGGUGGAUAGUUGCGGACGUGGGGUGCAGACGUUGAAGGUCCAUGUUGUUGAGCCGGCUCCGUCGCAGGAACUUGAACCGCCAGCGCCGGAGUGAAGUUGUAUUGGGGAGGAAGAUUUGCAGGUCUUGAUCCGCCGGCGCCGGCUCUCUGAGUGACGUUCGGCGUCGUCUUACGCUUCCGGGAGCCACCUCGACCGGCGAUAGGCAUGAUAGUGAGCCAAAUGAAGAGAUUGAAGAGAAAAAGAAGAAGACGACGAAGCAGAUCGAAGAGGUUGAAGGUGAGAGAUCGAAGAAGAUCGAUCGAUCUUAGCAGAAGAAGAAGAAGAUCGAUCUAGAAGGAGAAAGGAUUGAUCUUAGAAAGAGUUCUGGGGAUUAGGGUUUUCGAGACGAAGAAGAAGAAGAAGAGGAGGUUGGAUCGAAUAGGUUUAAGGUGAGAAAUCGAAGAAGAUCGAUUGAUCUUAGCAGAAGAAGAAGAAGAUCGAUCUAGAAGGAGAAAGGAUCGAUCUUAGAAAGAGAAUUGGGGAUUAGGGUUUUCGAGACGAAGAAAAAGAAGAAGAAGAAGAAAUGGCUAAGUGUUUGGCUCGAAGAGAAAUGACUCGAUUUAGGGUUUUCAACACAAUAGAAGUCGCAUAAUAGUCGCAUAAUUGUCGCAUAUUCAUUUGGGUUUGGGCCUCGAAAUUUUGAAGCCCAACUAAUCAAAAAAGUAUCGUUGAAUAGUCGUAAUUUUGUCGCCAAUUAUACUGGGUUUGGGUUUCAAAAUUUCAAAGCCCAACAAAUCAAAACUUGUCGGAACAUAGUCGCAUCUUUGUCAUAAAAUAUUACUGGGUUUGGGCUUCAACAUUUAGAAGCCCAAAAUACCAAACAUCUGUCGGCCAAUAGUCGCAAUAUUGUCGCCGAUAAUAAUGGGUUUAGGCCCCGAAAUUAAGAAGCCCACAAAACAAACUUGUCUCGGUAUUUAGUCGCAAUAUAGACGCCUAUACUAAUGGGUUUGGGCCUCGAAAUUUUAAAGCCCAACAUAUCAAACAGGUGUCGCAUAAUAGUCGUCGUUUUGUCGCCGGUUUUAAUGGGUUUGGAUUUCAACGUUUAGAAGCCCAAUAAAACUUAUCUUCGUCGCUCAUUAGUCGCAUAAUAGUCACUUUUAAAUUGAUAUAAUUAUAAAUGUGAAGAAAUAUUUGUAUAUCAUAAAAAAGUUCAAUGAUAUUAUGAAACAAAAUUCAUUCUAAUAUUUAUUCAAAUAAUUAUACAUAUAUUAACACAGUUAUACAUCUUCAUCUUCUACUUCAUCUUCGUCCGAGGACGAUAAAUUACAUCGGAAUUCGUCUUCUGGUUCAGCAUCCCCGACAUCGUAAUUAAGGAUUAUUGGGUUUAAGUUGGCUACCGGAGUUUCAAGAACAGGAUCUUCAAUUAUAGUGAGCAAAACAUCAUCAUCAUUUUCUGUUUGCAAAAGAGUUGGAUCAUUGUUUUCAUAUUCUCCAGAAAUGUUUCCCCUCGGAUUGACUUUUAGAACAUUGAGCCAAAUGUUCUUUGGUUUCUUCAUAUAUGGAUACGGAAUAUAACAAACUUGAUCUGCUUGAGAUCCUGUAUACAUAUAUCAAAGAUAGAUUAUUAAUAAUUAAAAAAAAAACGUAUUUUGGACUUAAGAAUAAUUACGUACCAAGAAUAAAUGGCUCGUAUUUAUUGUAUUUCCUCGUAGAUAGAAUGUCUACAACGCCACUAUGGCUUCGUCGAGUGCCUCUCCCGAUCUUUGGGUCAUACCACUUACACUUAAAAAGUGUGAUCCUCAAAUUGACGAUACCCUCAUACUCGAGUUCUAUAAUAUCAGUUAAGAUACCGUAGAAAUCCGCUUCAUCAGAUGAAUCAGCGUAAUUUUCACCUUUAACACAGACCCCAUAGUUACAUGUCUUUCGUCCAGCGCCGUGAUUUUGCGUAUGAAACAAAUAUCCUCUUGUGAAAUACAUUGGCCAAGUUUUAACCUUGUUCAAAGGUCCUUGCACAAUCUCUUGAACCCAAGUAGGAAAUGGAGAAGUAGUGUUCCAGUAUGUUACCUACAUAAUAGAUAAACAAUAUCAAUUAGUAUAUAUUAAAUGAUCACCUUUCGAAUGAACCAAAAUUGAUAUAGACUUACAUAUUCUUUAACCCAUAAAUGAUAUUCUUCCGCUCUUCUCGCGUAGAGUUCUUUUUUGGGCAAGCAUGGAUAUUUGGCAGAAAGAUAAUCUUCGAACAUACUAUAUUUACAAACGAGGAAAAUUAUCAAAGUGAUCUUAGUAAAAAUUUACAAACAACGAGUGAUUAAAAAUACCUCUCAAAUGGUUUAAAAUAGUCACAAUUUCUUAAAACAUAUGCAUGUGCGCUUUGGUAGUCUUUCUCUGAAAGCCAAUCUACAUGCAUUUCACCACUUGGACGGCCGACGUGCAUAAAUAUAUUAGGUACUCCAGGGACAUGAUAUACAGGAACUUUACCUUCAUUGAAUCUUGUUAACCUGAUCCAUGUAAGUGAAUUAAUAUCGAAGAAUAUCUAAUCGUUAAAUAAUUAAAUAUAUUUACCUUGAUUUUGUUUGAAUAUGAUCGGCAAAGUAGUGCUCUGAAAAAUAAGCAAUCUCGUCAUUGAUAUAUGACUCAACAAUUGAACCUGCAGCAUAUCUUUUGUUCUUUGCUUUUCCUUUCAACUUUUUGAAAAACCUCUCGAAUGGGUACAUCCACCUAUAUUGGACUGGGCCACCCAAUUCAGCUUCGUAUGGGAGAUGGAUAGGUAAGUGUUCCAUAACAUCAAAAAAUGAUGGUGGAAAGAUCCUUUCCAAAUUACAGAUGAUUAAAACUAUGUUCUGUUUGAGAAUUUGAACGCGACUUGUCUGUAAAGUUCUCGAACAUAGAUCUCGGAAAAAUGCUCCAAUUCCUAAAAUAUAUGUGCAAGUUAAAUGAUUAGAUUAAAAAAAUGUUGGAAAAAAAUAUAGUAAGUAUAUAUUGUACCUGAUAGUGCAAGGUGGACAUUCCGGUCAAGCAGUUCAGCAAAGAUAAAUGGAAGUAGUCGCUCCAUAAAUACAUGACAAUCAUGACUUUUCAUGCCUGAAAACUUUUCAUUAUCCAGAUCUAUACAACUAGCCAAAUCUGAAGAAUAACCAUCUGGAAAUCUAAUAUAAUAUUUCACACAUUGUAAUAAACUCUGUUUGGCUUCUUCUGUCAAUGUAUACGCUAGAAAUGGAGCUUUGCCACUACUAUCAAUAUGUAAGCCUGGGCGUGAACAAAAUUUCUCAAUAUCCAAUCUUGACAUGAUAUUAUCUUUUGAUUUACCCUUAACUCUCAUGAGAGUGUUCAUGAUGUUGUCAAGAAAAUUCUUCUCUGUAUGCAUCACAUCAAUAUUAUGUCGAAGAUUGAGGUCUUUCCAGUAAGACAACUCCCACAAGAUGCUUUCCUUGUGCCAAUUAUGUUUCUUCCCAUAGCCUCGCAUCUUCUUUUCAUGACCGUUCCCACCAACAUCCUUCGUUUUUGGUGGAUUUACACUAGCCAACCUCUCGUAAUAAACUUGCUCCCCUGUCAAAGACUCAGGUGGAUAUUCGCUAGAAGCAUCUCUUCCUUUCAGAAAGUCUUUUCUGUUCCUACGGGAUGGAUGACCAUGAGGAAAAAAUCUACGGUGACAAUCAAACCAGCAUGUCUUCCGUCCAUUGGGUAGAUAAAAAGACUUUGUACUUUCCAUGCAAACAGGACAAGACAAUUUACCAUGAGUAGUCCAUCCUGAUAACAUGCUAUACGCCGGAAAGUCGCUAAUCGUCCACAGUAGUACUGCUUUUAGAUUAAAAUUCUGACUCAAUGAAACAUCGUACGCAUCGACUCCAGUAGACCACAACUCUUUUAACUCCUCAAUAAGAGGUUGGAGGAAGACAUCAAGACUAGCUCGAGGAUGAUUUGGACCAGAAUUCAGAAUGGUAAGAAAUAAGUACUCUGUAUUCAUGCACAUACCAGGGGGUAAAUUAUAAAGAGUUAGGAUCACAGGCCACAAUGAAUGAUUACGAGACAUGCCAAAUGGAUUGAACCCAUCAGUACACAACCCGAGAUAAACGUUACGGGGUUCUUCCGCAAACUGGGGAUGUAACCCUAGGAAAUAUCUCCACUCUGCUGCAUCUGAAGGAUGAUUCAUUUCUCCCUCCUUUGAUUGGUGCUCAGCAUGCCAUCGCAUUGCCGCUGCUGUCUUAUGGCUCUGAUACAUUCUCUUCAACCGGUCCCCAAUAGGUAGAUACCACAUACGACUAUAUGGUACUUUGGUUCUUCGACGGUCGUCCUUAGGCUUCCAUCUUUUCGCACAACAAAAUCGACAUUGAUCUUCUUUUUCGUCUUCUUUCCAAAAUAGCAUACAAUUGUUCUGACAAACAUCAAUCGUAUGAUAUGGAAGUCCUAAAUUGCGCAUUAACUUCUCGGUCUGGUAAUGUGAAGUGGUUGUCUGGUUUCCUUCUGGUAAAAAAUCUGUAAACAUUUCGCAAACGGAGUCCACCAACUUUUCACUCAUAUUAUACUCCGCCUUGUUGUGCAUGAGUCGAGAUGCUAAGGAUAAUUGCGACUGCCCUUCACGACAACCAUUGUACAAAGGAUUAUUUGCACCUUCUAACAAGUCGUAGAACUUAUUUGAAUGGUUACGGACCGGUUCUUCCACAUUCUGAUAACUAUCAUCAUGACGAUAGUUAUCAUCAUACCCCACAUUAAAAUUAAAUGCAUCGUUCACCAUAUCCACAUAUGGAUCUUCUACAAUAUUACCCACUUCUUCAUGAUUCUCACUAAAAUAAGUCCUAUUCGUGUAACUCGUUCCUAUAUCCAUAUUCAUUUCUUCUCCAUGCUUAUACCAAACAUAAUAAUCAGGCAUAAAUCCAUGACUAAACAAAUGACUACUAACUCUUCUACCCGAGAUGAUGUGUUUUUCAUUCUUGCAUACACUACAAGGACAAUGAAAUUUACCUCGACUACUCUGUACUAUUGGCUGACUAUUAGCGAAUGUCAUGAAUUGCUCAACUCCUGCGACGUAUUCGGCUGACAAAUUCCCCGUCACUUCAUCAAAUCUCUUGUACAUCCAAUCUCGAUAGAAACCGCCAGUACCGCCAUAAUUGUAGUUUCCCGCCAUUAUACAAUAAAGUAACUAAUAUUUUUUUUUCUCUUUGAUGUUGUUGUUGUUUUGAUUUGUUGGUGAAAGAAGAGUUGCGUGAACGUUUAUUAUAUAGGCCAAUUUUUGUGACUAAUUUACGACUACAACUAAAUAAUUAGGUGUACCUACUUACCAAUGUGAAACACGUUUUCCAUCUACUUUAUACGACUAUGGUGCGACGUUUCUACGACUACAGGCUGACUAAGACGUCUAAUCGUCCUGUAGUCGCCAAAUUAGCGACUAAAUAAAAUAGACGGUAGAAUAGUCGUUAAUUAGCGACUAAGCAACGACAAAAUUAUCCCUUCAAUAAUAUAAUCGUCAAAUAGUCGUUACUUGCCGACUCUUUGCCGACUGCAUACGAUAGUCGUAAAACAACGACUAUGUAACUACAAUUUUUCGUGUUGUCGCAUGCGAGUCGUAAAUCCGUCGUCAAAUAGUCGUAUAAUGUUACGACUACGUUUGUUGUCGCUGAUUGUAGUCGUCGUUUACCUGUUUUCUUGUAGUGAUAAUCCUUAACUAGUUCCGAGGCUAACAACAAAUUCUCCAUUAUAAGCCGAUCUUUGAUGAAUACAGACUGGUUAUUCACUACAGGAAAAUGGGUUUUUAAUAGCACAGAAAUAUAGCGUUUUAUGUCAAUAUGCUAUCAUUGAUAGAAGGAUAAAAUAAAGAUAACGUCUCCAAAAAUGAAAUGCUAUGAUAGCUUUACUCACUAAAAAUUAUUUUCACGUGUUAAGUAAAAAAAAGGUUAAGUCCACAUUCAGUCUUCUCUCUCACUGUUCAACUCGACAAUUCCUCUCUCUCACUGUUCUUCAAAAAAAUUUCUUUCAAUCGUCGAAUUGUUCUGUCUGUUUUUCAAAACGAUUAUUGUUCUGUCUCUUUUCCAAAAUGGUUAUUGUUCUUCGGUAGCUCAUAGCUCGAUUGGUCUUCGAUAAUUCACUCUCUCACAAAGCCCAGAAAUAUCUGAUAAAGGUAUUUUAAUCUGUUCAAUUCAAUAUCUGAUAGAGGUUUGAUUUCAAUUUUGAUUUCAUUUCAAUUUGGGGAUUUUGAUUUGGGGAUUUUAGGGGUUUUAGGGUUUCGUUUCGAUUUGGGGAUUUUAGGGUUUUGUUUUGAUUUUAGGGAUUUCGAUUUAGGGAUUUCGAUUAAGUGAUUAAUUGUUUUUCGUUUUGGUUUAUUUUAAUUUUAGGUCCUCGUUUCAAUUUGGGGAUUUCGAUUUUAGGGUUCUUUAGUUAGAUUUAGAUUUGGUUUUCAAUUUGGGGAUUUCGUGUUUUGGCUUUUAGUUUGAUGAAAACUAAUAGUCAUUUUCUUUAUGCAGAUUAUUGUUUCAGAAUCUACAAGAGCUUAAGAGGUAGCAGAUUCUUAUCUAUUUCUAUAUUUUUUGGUUUAUUUGUUGUGAGAUGAGUGUUUGAUAAAUGAAAUUAUUGUCACGCAUGUCUGAGUAAUCCGUGGUUGAGCUCUGGUGUUAUAACAUGGAAAAGGCUUGGGUAUGGCUUCCAAGGUAUGAAUUUUCUGGUUAUCAAUUAGCUAGUGUUUUAUUUCAACUUUGUUUCUUCUUAUUGAUAUUUUGCCUUGUUUAUUUACAUGAAGGGCUAGCAUUGAAUAUGAGAAAGGUGCUACCGUUUUUGUGAAUGAAUCAGCACAAAAAUUGGGUAAUCCUGAAGAAUUAUUGUGUCCAUGCAUUGACUGUCGGAAUGUUUGCCAUCAUCUAUUAGAAAUCGUGUUAGAGCAUCUGGUGAUUAGAGGGAUGGAUGAGAAAUAUAAGAUUAAGGCAUGUUGGAAUAACCAUGGAGAGAGAAGGGAACAUAACAUGGCUAGUGUUGAAUCUUCAGAGAAUGAUGCUUAUGACUUGAUUAGGACUGCAUUUUUCAGUGGUGGAGAAAAGCAGCAAAUUCAGAAUGACAAUGAUGCUUAUGAUGAAGAACUAAGCAAAGAAGAAGCUGAGUUUAGAGAGAAGUUAUUGGAAGCUGAAACUCCUCUAUACUUGACAAGUUCUAAGUAUACCAAGGUGGUUGCAAUAAUGGCUCUCUAUCGCAUCAAGGUGAAAAGUGGUAUGUCUGAAAACUAUUUUGAUCAGUUGCUUACAGUUGUUCACGAUAUGCUUCCUGUGGAGAAUGUUCUUCCCAAGUCAACUGCUGAGAUAAAGAAGUUCUUGAAGGUUUUCGGUUUUGGUUACGAUAUGAUUCAUGCCUGUAAGAAUGACUACAUUCUUUAUCGUAAGCAGUAUGAGGAGUUAGUUAGCUGCCCGCGAUGUAGUGCUUCACGAUGGGAGAAGGAUAACCACACAGGAGAAGAAAAUAAAGGGGUUCCAGCAGAAGUCUUAAGAUAUUUCCCUAUCAAGGACAGAUUCAAGAGACUUUUCAGAUCGAAAAGGAUUACUGAAGAGUUGCGGUGGCAUUCCAGCAAUGGUAGUGUAGAUGGGACAAUGAGACACCCAGUUGACUCGCUCACUUGGGAAAAAGUGAAGGAGAAAUGGCCUGAGUUUGAUGGUGAUCCUAGGAACCUUCGUUUAUGCCUUUCUACAGAUGGGAUGAACCCAUUCUCAAUGCAGAAUACUAAGUACAGUGUAUGGCCAGUUAUGUUAGUUAACUAUAACAAGGCUCCUACCAAGUGUAUGAAGUCAGAGAACAUCAUGUUGACCAUGCUCAUCCCUGGACCAACAGCCCCCAGUAACAACAUCGACGUCUACUUACAACCUUUGGUAGAUGAUUUACUUGAUCUGUGGAAUGAUGGUAUUCAAGUUUAUGACUCCUUUAUGUAAGAGACUUUUACACUUAGAGCAAUGUUACUUUGGACUAUCAGUGACUAUCCGGCUUUAGGGACUCUCGCUGGUUGUAAGGUCAAAGGGAAACAAGCAUGUAAUGUCUGUGGUAAAGAUACACCACAUAGGUGGUUGAAGUUUAGUCGGAAACAUGUUUACUUAGGCAAUAGAAAGCGUCUCCGACCUGGGCAUCCUUAUAGACGUCGAAAAGCUUGGUUUAAUAACACGGUUGAGAAUGGAACUACAAAUAGAAUUCAUAGUGGAGUUGAUAUUCUAGAGACAUUAAAGGACUUUCGCAAUGAUUUUGGGAGACCGCUGGAUAAGAGAAGUAAGAGAAGCAGAACUGAUUUGGAUGAAGAGGGUGUUAAUUCAGAUGAAGAAGCAGAAGAAGAUAGUGAUAAGUGGCGUUGGAAGAAACGUUCUAUCUUGUUUGACUUACCAUAUUGGAAGGUUAGUGUGUCUUCUAAACUGUAUUACAAGUAUAUGUAGUAUGGAUUUGUCUAACUUUGAUUUUUUCAUUGCUCAGGAUAUGCCUGUGAGACACAAUAUAGAUGUGAUGCAUGUGGAAAAGAACAUAUCUGAUGCAAUGUUGUCAACUUUGAUGCAAAGUGUUAAAUCAAAAGACGGUUUGAAAUCACGAAAGGAUUUAGAAGACAUAGGGAUUAGAAAACACUUAUAUGCAAUCACACGUGGAAAGAGAACUUACCUGCCUCCUGCCGCUUAUUGGCUAUCAAAGUUAGAGAAGAAGUUGUUCUGCAAUAGGUUAGCAAAAUUUAGGGGUCCUGACGGAUAUUGUGCUAAUAUCUCAAACUGUGUAUCAGUUGAGCCUCUUGGAAUUGGUGGGUUAAAAUCACAUGAUCAUCACGUCCUUAUGCAGAAUCUACUUUCAGUUGCUUUGAGAGGCUUGUUGCUCAGAGGACCUCGAGUUGUUGUCGCUCGUUUAUGCUUUUACUUCAAUAGAUUAUGUCAGCGUGUGAUUGAUCCAGAGAAAAUACUAGCCUUAGAGUCUGAAGUUGUGGAUACAAUGUGUCAACUAGAACGGUUCUUUCCUCCUUCCAUGUUUGACAUAAUGUUUCACCUGCCCAUACAUCUAGGGAGGGAAGCACGAAUGGGUGGGCCAGUACAUUUUCGCUCGAUGUACCCAUUUGAGAGGUACUUCUACUUCUAACUCUCUAAUUAUGUGAUAUGUUGUUAGUUAGCUUUAUUGAAAUCUUCAGACUCUAAGGCUAGUAUUUUCUCUUAUGAUGUAGGUACAUGAAAAAAUUGAAAUCUUAUGUUAAGAACUAUGCAAGACCAGAAGCGUGUAUUGCAGAGGGCUAUUUGGCUGGAGAAUGUGUUGCAUUUUGCACAGAGUUCCUACGCAACUCGUUACCAUAUGAAGAAUCAGUUAAUCGCAAUGAAGAUAUUGAGACAAAUGAGAAUGUGCUUGGAGGUCGUCCAUUAUAUAAGGGUACAAAUGUUACACUAAUAGAGAAAGAAAGAGAGAUAACACAUCGAUAUGUUCUAAUGAACAUGGCUGUGACUGAACCUUAUAUUGAGUAAGAGCACUGAAUCUCCUGUAUAUAUCUUUAUUCAUCGAGUAUGAUCUUUACAUUAAGUUUUGUCUUUUUUCAGUAUGCAUUUGGAAGAAUUACAAGAAUUUGAUGAUAGUUGUGCAAGAAACGAAACUCUAGUGUUCAAGUUACACAACAAAAGAUUUGCAAAGUGGAUUAAAAAUAAGGUAUGAGUUCAUCACUUACAAAUAUGAUAUUGUUUCUCUGUAAUGAUGUAUUGAGUAUUGUCUGUUUUUAUUAGAUCCCUUCAAACUCAAAGGAUCAUUCAAUGAAGCUAAGGCGGAUAGCACUUGGACCAAGACUAAUUGCUCAGACUUACAAGGGGUUUAUCGUAAAUGGGCAUAGGUUCCACACCGAUGAUGUAAAGCGAAAGACUCAGAAUAGUGGAGUCACAUAUGAAGCCUUUAGUAUGCGUAGAUCAAGUGCACGUGAUAGUAGGCACCAAGCUGACAUAGUUACAUAUUAUGGAGUCAUAAAGGAGAUUUUAUUGCUUGACUACCAUAUGUUCCAAAUACCUAUUUUCAAGUGCAAUUGGGCCCAUAAAGGUCAUGGUGUGAGAGAAGAAGAAGGAUUCACGCUUGUGAACCUCCACUUGAGCCAAGCAGCAUUUGUAAAAGAUCCUUACAUUAUGCCAUCCCAAGCGAGACAAGUGUUUUACUCUAGAGAGGAUGAUUUGAGUCAGUGGUAUGUGGUAAUGAGAGCGCCACCAAGAGGUUAUCAUGAGUUAGAGACUGAAGAGGAGUUUAAUAGUGCACCAUUUUCAGUCCAACCAAUUGAUGAUUCAGGAAAUCAAUCUGAUGAUGACAGUUUUUGUGCUAGGGCAGAUUGUGAAGGGGUUACAGUAGUGGAUUAAUGUAUGAUUUAUUGUUAAGAAUACAUGUUUAACUUUGGAGAUUUGAUGGUUUUUCAGGUUAUCUGAAAUGGCUAAGAAAGGUGAACUGAACCCACGCCGUAGUAAGCGUCAAAAGGGACUAGAUGCGAGUCCUGUCAUAUCAUCCUUGAAGAAGAAAAAGAAGCAACAAAAGGAAGUGCUUAUUCCUGUGAUAGAAGAAAGCAGCAAGGAGACGACUUUUAAUGAUGAAGAUGGAGUUCAAGUAGAGUUUGAGGAAGUAACCCAAGCUUCUCGUGGUGCUGAUUCAUUGGAUAAAAAUGAAGAAGCUGAUGACCAAGAAGUUGAGAGAACAGACCCUAUUGAAGAAGAUUUGGAGCCUCCUGCUCAAGAAGAAGAUUUUGGCCAGCCUUCCACUGAAAGGCUUACAACUGCGACUGCUGAAACAUCAACACAAGUGUCAGUGACCAAGAAAAACAGACUAAGAGGACCCACAAAGCUGCGAAGAGUGGCCAAAAGUGCACAAGACAAAGUUGAUGUCGAAUUUACAGAAUUGGGAGAAUUUGUGGGAUCUGGUUCAGUUAAACUUUCAUCAUUUCUUGGAGCACUUGUGAGAGAGUACGUCCCUAUUAUUCUGGAUGAUUGGAGGCAGCUAGAUGAUAUAAUAAGGGACACACUAUGCGAGGAAAUUCAGGUAAGUGUAUUGAUCAUCUUAUUACAUUUACUUGAAAAACUAAUUAAGUAAAGAAUAGUGAUUUUCUAUACAUUUGUAUACUAAUGUAGGGGAGGUUCAAUGUGGACCAAGAAUUGCAAAGAAGAGAAAUUUUCAAACAUAUGGGUUGUUUGUUUAGGGCUUCUAAAUCCAACCUUCUGGCGAAAGUGAGAGUUGCUAAAUGGUUUUAAUCAUAGGAAGUAAGAGAUAAAGUCUCAGAUACACCACAUUCAAUUCUUUUACUUGUAGAAAAAAGAGAGUUCAGACCCCUCGCAGGUGACAAGGAGUAAAGUUUGGGUUGCAGGACACACGCAUUCUGAUGGAAGACCAGUCAAGGCCGAAUUUGUCGAGACCAUUGUAAGUAAUAUCUAAUUUCUUGUGGUUUACUCUGAUAUUAUCUAAAGCUAGCUACUUAUACCUGUUUGAUUACAUAUUUGAAUGCAGGAAAAAAUAAAAUCUUUUUUUUGAAAGAAUGUAAAAUUGUAUUCAGUCAAAAACCUUUUUACAAAAGAUGUAACAGUGUGUGUAAAAGUUUAGAAUAUAAGCUGAAGAUACAAUAGCUGAAAGAAAAGACUAGAGAGGUUGUAGAGGAUGAAGGGGUCGAGUGGAGAACCAAAGCUGCAGGCAAGUGUUGUAGCUGUGAUCUCCUGUAUCUCGGAUUGAGCUGAUUCGAUUACGAACUGUUUUGUCAAUGAGCUUGAUGAGCCUAUUCGGUGGUGAGCUAAGUUCACCAUGACGUCUAGCAUUCCUUUCUCGCCAAAUGUGGUAGAUUGUGGCUUGAAAGGAUUGUAGAUUGUGGAAAAAAUAAAAUCAAUAGAGAGUGAAAUGGAUUUCACAUCCACUAGUGUUAAAGAAGAUGUUGUGACUCAAGUACUAGGAAAAGACAAACCUGGGAGAGUUAGAGGGUUGGGCAGAGGGGCUACAUUAACCUAGCUGGCAUUUUUGCAAGUUAGAGACUCACAUGUGCAUAAAUUUGAAGCUACUCAAGAACUAUUAUUGAGCAAGGUUGAAGACUUACAGAAUGUUGUUAAAAAAAUGGCUAGUAAUAAGGUAUGUACUCAGACGCCCUUGUUUACUGUUAUGAUCUAUGUUAGUUAACUUCUAUGUGAUAUUUUAGUCUUCUAACAAUUUUAUUUCUCAGCCACCUUGUGAUACUCAAUCCAGAUCUGAAGCAACCAAUUUUACAGUAGGCGUCAAAUGUCAAAUUCUUGAUUUGGAAUCUGAAGAUGAUAUUGUUAUUGCUGAAGGAGAGUUGUGUUCUACUGAACCAGCAUAUAAGAUUCGUCGUGUACCACUAGGACCUAACGCAGCUGCUAUUGUAGUCAAAACGGUAUUUGAUAAACAAGCUUCUGUUUGGAGGCCUAUACCAAACAUCGUCUUCAUUGGACAAGCGUUGGGAGCCAAAAUUGCAUGGCCAGAGAAUAAGUUGAUUUUGGACAAUGAUGACUUCACAAGUUGGAGCACAACUGCAAACAAGAACAUUGAUGAUGCAUAUACGGUAAUUGUUUAGAGGCUUGUUAUCAACUUAUCCAAAUUAUAGAAACUUACUCUUUAGCUAGGUUGGUAAUACAUUUGCCUGAAAUGUAGGAACAAGAGAGGGUUCGUAUUAUUGAUUGGACUGUGGAUGAGGUUUAUGCUGAAGGUAAACUGUGUUCAAUUGAUCCAAAUGAACUCUUGAACGAAGUACCUAUUGGUCGCAAUUAAUGCAAUUGUGGAGAUUGAUUUGGUGGUUAAAGAAAGUGCCUUUUUGUGGAGACCAAUUGCUGAGAUGUCAGUCAUGGGUGAUGCACUUAAUAAGAAAAUCGUUUGGGCUUAGCCAAAGAUACAGUUUGUUAAUAACGCAAUGCCGCCUUCUUAAAAAGUAACAAGAUCAACACGUUCGGUAAGAUUCAAGAACCUUUAUUUUGUAGUAUGAUUUGAUUUGUUGUUCAUAUACUGGAAUUCUGAUGGAUAUACUUUUGAAUUUUCAAUUGUUAGAAUGGUAGUAUCAACACUAGUAGCAGUAAAGGUGAAAAGAAGAAAUGUUUAUUGUUAGAUAUCGAUAAAACUGAGAAGGUAGUUGCAACUGGUCGAGUUUCUUCAACAAAUCCAGAAGAUUUAGUACAUUUCGAACGCCUAGGAUUGAAUGCUAGCAUCGUGUGGGUAGAAUCUGAGAAGAUUGGAGAUGCUAAAUUCUGGAGACCAAAUUCUGAGAUUAUGUGCAUUGGCGAUGCAGUAGGCCUUACUGUACCUUGGCCUAAUGAUAGACUCAUUUUGAUAUGAUCUAUGUUAUGCAUGUGUUUGUUUGAUACUGCUGUGAACUUGGGUUAUUGACAGAUUUGAUAUUGUGUAAUAUUGUGUAAUAUUGAUGUGAACUUGUUGUAUGAUUGACAAUAUUAAUUAAAAGUUGAUUUAUGGUUUUCUUACAUUAUAUUGAUAUUGAUUAUAUAUGUAAACAACAACAUAAAUGAAAGCAGACAAUGAUUUUGUGACAUGCUUAAAUUAAAUUUAUAAAUAGCAUAUAAUAAACGCUGUUAUAAUUUAAACAAUAACACAACAUACCCGCUAUUAUAUUAAAAACAAUAGCAGAUGAUAUGCGCUAUUGUACACAAAACAAUAACAUAAAACACCCGCUAUUAUAAUGUACACUAUAACAAAUGAUAUCCGCUAUUGUAUUAACACUUUUAAUAGCGUCGCUAAAAACCGCUAUGAAAACUUGGCAAGCUAUCGUAGCGGGCGAUAACAUAUCGUUUUUAUUUUCGCUAUAGUAACGAUAAAUAGCGUUUUUCGUCUUCUAUUAAAAACCUAUUUUCCUGUAGUGAUUGCAACUUAUUGCAUCUCUGUUUUGUCGAAAGUGAGGACAAUAUUUUUCCAAGAAUUUCAUCUGUAAGACAACUUAUAGCUUGUGUCAAAUCUUUUGGCAUCCAUUGCCUGAAACAUGAAGUGAUGGGUCCUGUGAUUCAACUACUAGAUUAACCAACCGAAAGCGAUUGCUCUAGAAAGUUGAAUACUUCUAUAAAUACCCUAUAGAAGAAACUCAAAACUGCUUGAAUAGUAAAGAACGUGGGCAAUUAUAAUAACUAGAGAAGGAACAAAUAUGAAAGUUCUAUUGAUAUAGAGAGACUGAGAGAGAGACGAACUGUUCCUGUGGAGGACGUCGAAGAGAGAGAGAGACGGAGAGAACGAUGAUUACCAUAAUUUAGGUUUAGGGUUUCCAAAAAAAAAAUUAAACACUAAUUCCAAAAUGACAAGAGAAAAAUCGUUUAAAAGAACUUGCUAAUUAUCAAUAUCCCAUAUGAAAAAUUAAUUGAACCUAAUCAAACUAAAUUAACCAUACCAUACGAAUUGAACCAAAACGGUUCGAACAUACCUGAAAUAAUUUUGGUUAAAGUUCAAUUUACUAGAAUCGUAUAACUCUAAGGGCACAAUUAUCAGAAUCCCAGUCUCUACAUAUUCUCUUACAAGUAUCUUCAUAUUAGUCACCUUGACUACUCUACAGAUUCGUGCAUUAAUGUCUCUUUCACGUUAAAAAAAUCUUGGGAAAAGAAAGCAAAAGAGUAAUUUUGACCGUCUAGCUCUCUAGUCUCUAUAUAACCCCAAUCGUUAACAGAAUGAAGAUAAACUUAAAAACAUGGCAUCACAAACCAACAAAGAGCUUUUCGUGGGUGGACUUGCAAGGAUUUUGAAAGAACAGCGACAAGUCGAUGUCCGGCUGAAGGCAGGGGACAGCGAUCAGAAGGGUGUAUCUAUAUCUGCUCAUAAGCUUGUUCUGGUCUCUUCCUCUUUCCUUAUUAUUUUUUCAUCAUCAUAUGAUUCUUAAAAAAACAUUUACGAAACGUUCUUUACUCGUACUGAAUUUCAUUGUGAAUGUUAUGGAAUGUUUUAUAGUCUGCAAGAUCUGAGGUGUUUAAGAUGAUAUUGGAAACAGAAGAGAUCAAGGCUACAACUACGCUAGACACAAUCACUCUCUCAGAGCUAAAACACACAGAGUUAGUGGCUUUGGUUGAGUGAUAAGUACCAAAAUGGCUUAUCAAGAUAUGUAACAGAAAGAGAUGAGAUAAUAGAAGAAAUAGGUUGAGAUGCAGAAGAAUUUCAGAGAAGGAGAAGGAAGAUGAAGAAGAUAAACAUUCUUAAGAUUAUAAUCAAUAAGUGUUUUUCAAUGACUAAAGAAGAGUUUAAAUAAAAGACAUUACUAAAGUAAACAUGCCAAACACUAAGCCUUAUAAAAACCCAUAAGGCCCAACUCCUGAACCUAUCAAUACUCCCUCCUUUGAGAGUCACCUUGUCCUCAAGGUGGAAGAAAGUGAAUUCCUUGGACGAGUGUCCUAACUUCGGUUGAGCCUACAGCUGCAACCUUCUUUUUGACACUUGAUUCCCACUUAUCAACCAUCUCCUCAACAUGCAUUUGUGUAACCUCUUUACCGAAUUCAAUCAUUAGCCUUGAAACCACAGUUUUAAAAGGAUGAUACAAUCCCACAACUUCAAACGGUUCUGCAGUCCUUACCUCCUUUGAUAUGACCGCCUCUUUAGUCUGUUAUGUGUGCACCUUUAACACACACGGAGCGGGUUUGGUCUUUCUCACUCUUGGUUGACAUGUUCCGCGUACUUCCAGCUACAACUUCACUGUGUUUCACCCCGGGUUGCCCAAAAAAUGAUUUCUCAUCGUCAUUCUCUUUAGUAUCCUUCUAAGGUUCCAACCAUGAAACUUCUUCCAAGUGUUCUGGACUUAGCUUCAACUCUUGACUUUCAACGCUCUUAACAUGUCCACCUUGUAUUUCCUUAGCGAUUCCUCCACAUGUAACCUUACUCUCUCCUUUUAAAGUUACCUUGUCCUCAAGGUAGGAAACAACAAGCAUUUCCCCAUCGUUAUUUCUCUGUUCUUCAAUAUCCUCUUGCUCAUUUUCACUCUUCAUCUUUACUUUUGUAGUAACUUGCUCAAGUUCUUCGUGCUCAGCACAAAGAGUGAUCCAUUGUUGGUUGUGGCUGAAAGAGAAAUCUUGAUUCUGCCAAUUAACCAUUGUCUCUCCCAGUUUUGAGAGCCACUCAUAACCAAGAAUCACAUCCACAUCAGUCUUGGCCAAGUCUAGCAGAAGGAAAUUCUCAGUGAUUUCAACUUCUUGAACCCAUAAUCUAAUUCCGAGACAAGUUCCUACGCUUUGUAUGCACUGCCUUUGUCCCAAUAAAACUGAAGCUUGGUUUGUAAUACUCGUGGGUAGUUUGAGACUGAAGGCUAACUCAACUAAGAUAAAAUUGUCGGUUGCUCCAGAAUCUAUAGCUACAACGACCUUAUGAUCUAAUAUGAAGCCAUAGAAUCUCAUACCUUUGUUCCUGGUUAAAUCUAUCACUAGUUGCUCCAUUCCCUGUCUCAAGGUAUAACUAUCCUGCUCUAAUUCUUCCAGCUCAUUUAUAACUCCUUUUUUCUUCUUUACCACAUCCAGCUUAGCUUGUACCAGGGUAAGGCUCAUCAGCUCCGCCUGUCUUGAUUGGUAGCUGUUCUCAAUGACGACACAAUUCCAGAAUUUAUGAGAUUAUUACUUUCUUCUAACCAUUGUGUUGUAUCCAUCAUUUGUACAAUCCCAUUCGGUUUCAAUUCUCGAACUGCAGUUUGCAAACUAGGUUGCAACCCUUGUAAGAACAUCUCCUCGAAGCCUUGUCCUGGUAAGGUAACUGAGCGAAGACAAAGAGCUUCAAACCUUUCUCUGUAAUCACGCACUGAUCCUUCUUGUUGUAUUCCCGAAUAAUGAGGUUGAUGAUUUAACUUCAUUGUCGUCUUUGUCUCUCGGCCCAUCAUACACUUAAAUUCCUUCCAGCUUGUAGGUGAAUUCUUUUUCCAGAGAUGCUUUAUCCAUUGCCUAGUCUCUCCUUCCAAGUUAGCAUAAACAAUUUGUAACCUCUCAUGCUCCGAAAUUUUAUUCUCACCAAAAUAAUUCUCAAAGUUAUUUAGACAGCUUCUUAGGUUUUUUCCGUGAAAAGCAACGAGGCUCUGUACUAGCUGAAAGUCCUCAGUCCACGGCUCAGUUCCAGACCAACGUCACCACGGACAGCUGCAUCACACCUCAAGCUCCGUUAAAGGCAAAAGGGGAUGGGAUUCUACCCUUACCGCUGCUGGCAGUACCGAUCCAAACAAUGGAUCCGUCUCAGACAUCAUACGGGUUUAGCCAGAACACCGGUCAGCUAGGAUCUCCGGGUAACAACACUGGGUCACCUGGAAGAAGGUCAGAUCUAUCACAGUAUGAAGGACAGAGCCCAGAUGACUGGUUAUUCAGAAUGGAGAAGAGUUUUCUGCAGAACCAGACCUUGGAACAUCAAAAGUUGGAGGUAGCUAUAACGUGUUUAGUUUCGGUAACAGCUUUAAAUUGGUUGAGAGGUGUGCUAAUGAGAGGAUUGUUCAAAGAUUGUAAUGAUUUUAAGAAAAAAGUUCGAAAAUGAUUUGGACACAGUCGUUGCGGGUCUGUUGUGUGGCAGUUGUUGAACAUCAGACAGAAAGGCUCAGUGGAGGAAUUUAGAGAACGGUUUGAAGAAUUAAUAGUUGAGGUGCCACACAUUACUAACGAUCUUUUGGAAGGAAUUUUCUUAAAGGGAAUGAGGAAAAAUAUAAGAGACCAAGUGAUGCGUACACGUCCCUCUAGCAUAUAUGAGAUUGUGGAGACAGCAUGCCUCAUAGAAGAGCAAGAGCAGGAGAAGACGUCUUUCCACUCAAAUUACAACUCGAAAUCCGUUAGUAGAACAAAUUCAGCUCCGGUGCUUCAUCGAAGCAACAACAAUAGCCCUAUCAAGACACAGGAUAUCAUUCAAGCUAGGAGGUCAUUUGAUGGGGUAAGAGAUAACAGGAAACCGGAUCAGAGGAACAACGCAUGCUACACGUGUGGAGACCGCUAUUUUCCAGGACACCGCUGUAAAAAUCAGAAGCUCAAAUGUUUGGAGUUGGUCGCAACAAGCGAGGCGGGACAGUUACUGGAGGAGGAAGACGAAUCUGAGAGUGAAGAAGAACCGGAACCUAAGGUGGAAGGACAGACAAUGAUGCAUCUUUCGUUGAGUUCAAUGGCUGGCCUUACUAAUGAAAAGUCUAUGAGGAUGAAAGGAUGGAUAGCAGGUCAGGAAGUGAUCGUGUUGAUUGAUUCAGGAGCAACUAGUAACUUCAUUUCUGAAGAAGUUGCUCAGCGGUGCUCACUAACAGUCACACCAACAAGUGAUUUUGGAGUAGCAGUUGGUAAUGGUCAGAUUAUUUCAGGACAAGGCAAAGUUAAGGAUGUGCAGCUACACAUUCAAGGGGUGGAUAUUAAGGAGGAGUUUUUUCUGUUUGCUUUGGGAACCACAGAUAUAGUGCUGGGGUACUCGUGGUUAGCUACCUUGGGAGAUACAAGGAUCAAUUGGGGGCGCCACACUCUGAAAUUCAAGGUCAACGAAGAAUGGGUGACACUAGUGGGAGACCCAGCCCUCUUGAGACAACAGAUAUCUCUUCAUGCAUUGGAAAAAACAGUGAGAAAAGGUGACACAUGAGGCGGAAGGAAACAACAGUUUGGGGGUUCAGAAACUUAUCAAGGAUUACAAGAAGGUUUUCCAGUUACCACAAAGGUUACCUCCAUCAAGGAAUAGAGAGCAUUCCAUCACCUUACAACUAGGAAGCUCACCGAUCAAGGCUAGACCAUAUCGGUAUUCAUUCGCACAAAAGAAUGAAAUGGAGAAGUUGAUCAGAGAGAUGCUAGCAGCUGAGAUAAUCAGACCUAGUAUCAGCCCAUUCUCAAGUCCUGUACUAUUGGUCAAGAAGAAAGACGGAGGCUGGAGAUUUUGCGUGGACUACAGGGCAUUGAGCAAGGCUACCGUUCCGGACUGAUAUCCAAUCCCAGUGAUCGAGGAACUGCUGGAUGAGCUACACAGAGCCACGAUGUUCUCCAAAUUGGACCUUAAAUCGGGGUACCAUCAGAUACGAAUGAAGGCUGCAGAUGUGGAGAAGACAGCUUUCUGUACUCAUGAGGGUCAUUACGAGUUCUUGGUCAUGCCGUUUGAUUUGACCAAUGCACCGGCCACCUUUCAGUCAGUAAUGAAUGAGUUGUUUCGAACCUACCUGCGUCAAUUUGUUCUAGUGUUCUUUGACGACAUUCUGGUUUAUAGCUCAGACGAAGAGACCCACCUUAAACAUCUAGAAGCGGUUCUCCAAAUUCUACUUCAGAAUAAGUUAUAUGCCAAUGAAAAGAAAUGUCACUUUGGAAGCACCAGAAUCUCUUACUUGGGUCACAUGGUAACAGGGAAAGGUGUGUCUGCGGAUCCAGCUAAAAUUGAAGCUAUGGUGAACUGGCCUCAACCAAAGAACAUAACUGAGCUGAGGGGGUUCCUGGGACACACUGACUACUACAGAAGGUUUGUAGCAGGUUAUGGGAAGAUAGCCAAACCCUUAACAGAAUUGCUUAAAAAGGGUAAGUUUGAAUGGUCUGAAGCAGCUAAUAAAGCUUAUGAGACACUUAAAGGAGCAGUUAUCCAGUUGCCAACCUUAGCAUUGCUAGACUUUGCAAAGCCUUUUGUGAUUGAAACGGAUGCUUCAGGGACGGGAAUCGGGGUUGUGCUAUCACAAGAUAAACGUCCCAUAGCGUUUAUUAGCCAGGGGUUCUCUAGUAAGGGCAGAAUUAAGUCAGUUUACGAGAGAGAGCUGUUGGCCAUUGUCUUUGUAGUGGACAAGUGGAAACACUAUCUAGCAAGCAAGAAGGUGAUUAUAAGGACAGAUCAGAGGAGUCUCAAACAUCUGCUUAACCAGAAAGCUGUGUCAGCUAUACAGCAGAGAUGGGCAUCCAAACUUGUCAGUUUGGAUUAUGAAAUUGAGUACAAACCAGGCGCAGAAAAUCGUGUAGCAGACGCUUUGUCCCGACGUCCAGUCACAGAGCAGGUGAUGAACAUGUUGUUGCUGGCUCCAGCUACUCUGCACAAGAUUGAAUUACAAGAUCAAGUACAAGGCGACCCUAGCCUCAACCUCAUCAGAGAAAAGCUUUUAAGUGGACAAGAGUCUGAAAAAGGAUACAGUUUGGUGGUUGGCACCUUACAUAAAGAUGGUAGGAUAAUGAUUCCAACAAAUUCUCCUUUUAUUCCAAAGUUGUUGGAAAGGUUCCACACUAGUCCCAUUGGGGGUCAUGAAGGGGUGCUCAAGACACUCAAGAGAUUGGCGAGUGAAGUUUAUUGGAAGGGAAUGAGGAGAGACGUGGUAGAGUUCCUCAGAGGCUGUCAAGUGUGUCAACAAAAUAAGUACUCAACCUUGUCACCAGCGGGUCUUCUCACACCGCUACCCAUUCCUACUAAGGUAUGGUCGAACAUUAGCCUUGAUUUUAUUGAUGGGUUACCAAAGUCUGAAGGCUAUGAUGUGGUGUUAGUAGUGGUAGAUAGGCUUAGUAAUUAUGAUCACUUUGUACCGCUGAAGCAUCCUUACACAGCCAAGUCUAUAGCAGAUAUUUUCCUUCAUGAAAUAGUCAGACUUCAUGGGUUUCCUGAGAGUAUGGUCUCAGAUAGGGAUAAAAUCUUUAUCAUCAAUUUCUGGUCUUCUCUGUUCAAAUCACACGGAACAUCCCUGGAUAAGAGUACAUCAUAUCACCCUCAGACAGAUGGCCAUACAAAAGUUCUGAAUCGUUGCUUAGAGACGUAUAUUCGUUGCUUUGUUAAUGGGAAACCAAAGACUUGGGCUAAGUGGCUAAUGUAGGCUGAAUACUGGUAUAACACAUCGUUCCACUCUGCGAUUAAGAUGACUCCAUUUCAGGCUCUGUAUGGGAGAGAACCUCCCAAACUCUUGCGAUUCGGUGAUGUACCCACUGCUAACGCCGGCGUUGAAGAGUUGCUGCAAGAAAGAGACUGACUGGUCACUAUGCUGAGAGAGAAUCUACAAGCAGCCCAAGCUCGAAUGCAGAAGUCAGCUAACAAGCAUAGAAGAGAAUUGGAAUUCUCAGUGGGAACUUGGGUCUAUUUAAAACUCAGGCCGUAUAGACAGCUUUCUGUAGCUCAACGACGUAAUGAGAAGCUAUCGCCAAGGUUCUUUGGUCCGUAUAAGAUUCUGGAACGCAUAGGAGCAAUGGCAUAUAAGCUGCAGCUACCAACUGAAAGUUCUAUUCAUCAUGUGUUCCACAUAUCCCAACUGAGACAGGCGCUUCCAGGUUCAGCACAAGCUCAACCCCUUCGCGAUUAUGACUUCUAACUUGGAGUGGGCAACAGAACCAGAAGAGGUAAUGGAGAUCAGAGAGGGCAACACAACAGAAGAUACUAAGCUCUUGAUUAAGUGGAAGGGUAUGCCAGAGUGUGAGAAUACAUGGGAACCAAUGACGGGCAUCACGCAACAAUUUCCAGAUUCUCACCUUGAGGACAAAGUGGCUUUGUUACGGGGGAGUAUUGGUAAGGCAGCAACUCAAGCAAUGGAGUCAGCAAGAGAAGUCAGAAUUCCAAGGAAGAGAGUACCAAAGAAGGUUUAUGAUCCUAGUGGCUGAAAUGAAGCUAAAGGAAGUCAAGGAAAUACUCUGUACCAUCCAGAGGCUUUGACAAUGUCUUUGACAAUGUCAAAGAAUAAGAAUGCCUAUAGUUUUCUUAUUUAACUUUGUGUCAUUUAAGUGUUGUUGUGAGUGAGUGGUUGUAGUUUCUGUAGGGGAACUACUACUUAAGCGGAACUCUAUUUUAGGGUUAUAUUCAUCAAUGAAUUAAUCAACUUUCCUUAUUACUCUUCUCUCUUAUCUUACUCGACUUCUAUCCUAUACUUCUUCUUCCUUUUCUACUUCUAUUCUCUGUUUUCCUUCUUGAUAAGUUCACGCUUAUCAAUUGGCUUAGUGUUUGGCCUGUUUACUUUAGUAAUGUCUUUUAUUUAAACUCUUCUUUAGUCAUUGAAAAACACUUAUCGAUUAAGAACAAGAAAUGUUUAUCUUCUUCAUCUUCUCUCUUCUUCUUCCUGCCUUUCUCUGAACUCUUCUGAAUCUCAUCUCUAUUUCUUCUGUAUCUCACCUCAUUUCUGUUACUUCACUUGAUAAGCCAUUUUGGUACUUGAUAAUCCAGAAUCGAAAUUCUUCUGCUGGUGAAACACACGCCAAGUGUUCGACAAAACGCCCAGGCGAGAUUUCUGCAUUUUUCCUUGGUGUGGGUUCAGAUUUGGUCGUGAGACCUUGAGGCAGCUCGUGAUGUUCUUGUUUCCUCUUCUCAGGUGGUUCUUCAGUUGCAUUCACCGGAAAAAGCGUAGCAAAAAUUUCACGAAUCCCUUUUCGAUACUCCUCUUGUUGAGCUUCAAGCCUUUGGACGAUGGAAUCUAGCUUUUCCUCCACCUUUUCAACAAAUCGAUCGAGUGUUGCUUCUAGAUCAGAGAUUGUGGCGGCUUGAUUGGUUUGAGCAGCUUGAGUAGUCUUGAGUUCAACUCUCAAUGAAAGCACCAAUUGAUAAGUACCAAAAUGGCUUAUCAAGAUAUGUAACAGAAAGAGAUGAGAUAAUAGAAGAAAUAGGUUGAGAUGCAGAAGAAUUUCAGAAAAGGAAAGGAAGGAGAAAGAAGAUGAAGAAGAUAAACAUUCUUAAGAUUAUAAUCGAUAAGUGUUUUUCAAUGACUAAAGAAGAGUUUAAAUAAAAGACAUUACUAAAGUAAACAGGCCAAACACUAAGCCUUAUAAAAACCCAUAUAUAAGGCCCAACUUCUGAACCUAUCAUUGAGUUCAUCUACAGUUCCGGAUCUAGGCUUUCUACGAAAGGGAGGCAACACGUUAGGUCACUCUAUCUUGCAGCCGAUAAAUAUGAGAUUCCGCAUCUACGUGACCUAUGCAGAAUCCAAC
This 77508-nucleotide long non-coding RNA is filed under the name Arabidopsis thaliana (thale cress). RNAcentral describes it as "long non-coding RNA (ATHA_LNC000146)". The record is from RNAcentral. Lineage: Eukaryota; Viridiplantae; Streptophyta; Magnoliopsida; Brassicales; Brassicaceae.